This 61814-nucleotide long non-coding RNA is filed under the name Sorghum bicolor (sorghum). Its description in RNAcentral is "long non-coding RNA (SBIC_LNC015968)". The record is from RNAcentral. Lineage: Eukaryota; Viridiplantae; Streptophyta; Magnoliopsida; Poales; Poaceae.
CCCAAUUAAUUCAACAUGAUUAGUCCUUUAAUCUUUGUUCUUAGUACUACCUUCGUGAUCCCACACUCCUAAUCAUAUAAGCUAAAAUGUUGCACAUUCAAUCUUUGGAAGAUAUAAACGAAACAUAAAUAUAGAUAGAUUAUCUUUCCAUUAGGAUGAGCUAUAUGAUCUGACAAAUGUUUCAAAUGCUACACUCAUGAUCCAUCAACUUUGUCUUGCUCACUAUGCUUAAGGUUAGAGAAGAACAAAUACACUUUUGGUUUUGUUGGUGUUUUCCACCAACAGGGCCCAUGCACUAGAUCUCCUGCCUUGUCUCUAUGAAUAGGUACACUUUAAACAAAACAUGCAGGAGUUUUACAACUCCCAGAUUCCACCAAGUGAAGAACUGGGAUCUACGAGCACAAACACAAUGGAGAUCAGACACUUAGUUUCCCAAAGGAAAUAUUGAAGAACCUCUUUGUCCGAGUUGGUACCUUGUAUGCUCCAGCAAACUUCGUGGUGAUAGAGACUAGUACUGAGGAGAGGGCACCCAUCACCUUAGGGAAGCCAUUCCUAAACACCAGAGCUGUCAUCUACGUUAAUGCUGCCAAGAUCCGUUUCUACAUCAAGGGGGAGAAGGAGACUUUCCUUCAAGAACAAGACUACACAAAUUUCAGAGCAAUCCCGACAUGAACCAAGGAAGAGGACCAACAGGAGGAACAGGAACAAGCAAAUGUGGACUGAGUCAGCUAAGAUGGUCACUGUAGCUCAAGGAGGUCAAGAUCGUCGACUCAAGUUACCUUUCUUGAUCAAGAAGGACGAUCCUGGUGUUCCAAGCAUCGAGUGCACAAUCAAUGGAUACUCUUUUCAGAAGACACUCUACGACAUCGGAUCUAACGACAACAUAAUGGCCACAGUCACUUAUCAGCUCCUGCAUGGAAUCAUGCCCCUACAACCAACAUACAUUCAGCUCCAGACGAUUUUCAGGUCAUUGACAUGGGAGAAGACGAGUAUGAUCCACCCACCAUCCUUGGAAGACCGUUCCUCAACACUAUCAAAGCCAUCAUCUAUAUUAGAAUCGGAGAAGUCCACAUACACUUCUCCUCUAGGAAGGUAUGCCACUACUUUAAUGAUUCUAACUAUAUAGCUGAAGAUUCUAAGCAGGUCAGGACAAGAAGAAGACAACGCAACCGCAACCAGAGGAGGCAAAUCAUCAAGGACGGAUGGGUAGACUAUGAAGGAGAAGUGAUAAGGUCUGAAGACAUAUAGCUUGAACAGAACUGUCCUGAGGAGACCGUAGCACCGAGUCUGGUGUGGAGAGAGAAGAUAGUUAUACACGAAGAGAGGCGCCGCCGGAAUCACCGACUACGCCACCUAGCGAAUCCCAGGACGACUGAGAAAACGGAGAGUCCCGUUCGGAGGACUUAAAAAUACCGAACGCCUUGCCAAGAGGUAAACUUGGUAGUUAUCCUUUCCAUUCAAUAGUUUGCUUAGUUAAUCAGGUUCAUGCUAUCUGGAAAAGAAAAUAAAAAUGUUAAAAAAAUAGUAAGCGCCAUGUGAGUAUGCUCAUGGCAUAAAACCCAUAAGUACAUUCACUGUGGUGGCAUAAAAAUAAAAAUAAAAUAAAUAAGUUUUCAUCUUACAAUAAAAAUAUAAAAAUAAUAAGUGCAUGAUCCUGCUAAAUAAGUAAUAUUUAUUGAGGAGGCUCAACAUGAUAAAUGCUAGAUAUUUAUGCUAACACUUAACCAGUUCCACAAAGCUUUGUUGUCUAUUUGAGCUCUACAGAAUUGAAGAAUCAAGAAGACUAGCAGACAGAGGACAUUUUAAUCGCUGUCAGAAUGCUGCUGACAUCAAAUACACCUCCGUCACCUGCUAGCACAUCAGAAGAAAUUACGUCAAAAUCCAGCUUGGGGGAGAGCACCCCCAUUUAUCCAGCUAAGUGUUUCUACUCGCGUUUAUACUUUACUCAAAUAAUAAAAGAUGCAUAAUCAUGAAAACCCAAAUAAAUAUUUUGUGCUUUUAUAUAUAUAUAUCUUUGCUUAGUUUGCUAAAUAUAUAAAUAAAUAAAGUUUGCUAUGAACCCUCAUGAUAAUCUCUCACAUGGAAAUGAUGAAUAGUUGCUCUGCCAUGACUAGUUUUCAAAAUUGAAAUCUCUCUCAAGUUUAGGCAUGACUGUUAUGAAUUAAGAUUUGCUCUAACCUGAACAUGUGGGAAGAGUACUUGAUCUAAAGUCUAAGUUGUUAACGGAUAUGAUAUGGAAAGGUUGAGCUGUUGUUUAUCUGUUUCCAGAGAUGCUAGAAUUCUGGAGAAUUUUAUCUUUGAAAAUCUUUAAAAUAACACAUGAUGAGUUCCUAUAUGAUGAGAGUUUAAAUUCCUACCACAGCCAUAUAUACAUGCUUAUUAGACUUUGAGCCACACAUUUACUUUUUACUGCUUAUGAGCAUUGAGUGUGGUCAAGCUGUGUAGACCCUUAGGAGCUUGUCAUGUGGUUAAAAUCAAGAUUCACUUGCACGUUCACUCAUACAUGCUACUUCUACUCCGGAAGUACCAUCCACAUAUAUCCACUCAUUUCCAUCUCCACAUUCACCCGAAAUUAUUCUACUCCUAAUCCGGGAGAGAAUAGCCAAAAACAUUUUCCUAUCCCUGUUAUUCCCUAUGAAAUAAAUGCUCGAGUUAUCUUGGUUACUACCACUUGCUACAUUAUCUCAGGAGAUGAGUGCUCUAAAAAAACAAAAGGAGAAGAAAAAAAGAAAAAAAAUACGAGGAAAUAAAAAGGGGCAAGUGCCCGGAACCUCGAAGGAAAAGAAAAAGAGUGAGACGAGAGGUAAAAAAUGGACAAGUGUCCGACCGUAGAAUUAGGGGUACAAGAUACCCACCUGAGAGGAAAGAAAAAAAAUAUAGAGCAUCUCAUACUCCCAAAAAAAAGCUUCAAAGUGCAAGAAAGGUAUGUAUCCCCUCAAAAGAGCAAAAGUAGAAUUAGACUUUCACCAUUAUUAUCACCAUCAUCACCAUACACCAUUCAUUCGCCACACAUGCACAUCUUGAUUUGACUUAUUGACUUGUUUCUCUGGAUCCAUGGUUUGACUAUGCAAUAAAUGUCUUGUAAGUAUGUAUUAGCUGUCUCCCACCUAUGAGCUCUAGAUAUCAAAACCUUAUUAGAGUAGGAUGAGAAAGAAGGCAAUAUCACUAUGCAUUACACCAAAAAUACCACAUACUUUGAGAGAAGGCAUAUACCAUUACUGCCUUGGUAAGGAUCCAGAAAUACACAAAAGAGAGAUAUGAGAGAGUCAUACAAGGAAUCUCUGAGUUUUAUUUGAAAAUCUGCAAAAACCCCAGAGCUAUAGCUGAUCAAGAAGAAGAGACAUGGCGCUUGACUUGACCGUUCUAUCUUUUAACUGCUCAAGACACAAGUAACGGUUACAAGCCCCAUGGUGAAAGGUAAAAUGAGUAAGUUUUAAGUCUUAACAGUUUAUUCUAACUCAGAGAUGAGAUCUUGCUUGAAUGCGUGUGUACUUUUAAGGCAUGAAACCACUGCAGAAACUCUUGAGUUCAUCCUUGCUCAGGGACGAGCAAGAGGUAAGCUUGGGGGAGUUUGUUGAUGGUCCUUAAGUAUCAAAUUUAAUUAUCAAAUAAACAAAGAAAAGGAUCCAAAUGAAAUCAACAUCUAGACUUAGGGUUUUAUCUGACUGAAUUCCACGAGUUUUGGUGUUUGUCUAUUUCUGCAGGGGGUUAUCAGGAAAUAAGGAAGAAAGGCCCACAUGUCAGGAUUACAUAGAGAUAUCAACGCACCGCGCAAUUUUCUACCAUCUAGAAGACUCUAGAAGCCACGGGAAGAAAGCAGAGGCCGAAAGGGGCCAGGCCCAGGGCGCCCGCCCUAAGGACCUAGGCGCCCACCCACCUCUGGAAGCCUUUCGGGACUCUCUUCGCACACGAUGUUCCACCGAACUAUUGGAUCAAGGAAAACAUAGUACCACUUCGCCUACCGACCCAAAAACGCAUAGAGGAGGACUAUAUAAGGAGACCCCCCUGGCCCCUCGAGGAGACAAGAAAUUAUCAUAGAGAUUGAGGGGUGCCCUCGAAGGAAAACGUCUUCUCUAAAUAAUAUUUCUUUUUAGGCUUAGCAACCAAUGUAAAGUAGAAAUAGAUCUUCUAGUUUCUACUAGAUUGAGAGAGAUAGAGUGGAGGUGUGGAUCGGAGGAAGGCUGGCCUGUCGGUAUCUACUCCGAGUUGUACCUGCGGGAUCAAGUCUCCUAACUCGAGGCUUGCUUCUAAGAUUCUUCAGUAAUUCGACUUCUAAUUCUAGUAAGUUCUUGUUUUAUUAUUCUUUGGUUUAUGAGUUUACUUUAAUCCUCCUCCGGUUGAGUAUUAGAGUAAUCACUUACUAGCGUAAACGUGGUGUUUAGGCUAGGGUACUCAUAGAUAUCCCCUGACUAGCUGGACCGUGGUAGUAGCGAGGAACGUGACAUUUCUGAGUUACCUUUGUAUCCCAUAUCUUGUUAGCAGGACGGGUAGGUUUAUAGGUGCGGGUCGAACAUCCUUUGUGUUGUCUAGAUUCCGUGAGCCUCCCCAAUAGAACAGUAGAUCAUCCUUACCAAGGUUAGAACGAGCCUCCCCAAUAGAACAGUAGAUCAUCCUUUGCAGUCUUCUCUAUACAUCACUCACAUCGAGAGACAUUCUUUGUAGCCUAAAGGGAUAGUAGCAAUAGAUUUGAUUAGUCAGAUGCACCCUUUCUCCCAGUGGUAAAAAUAUAAAUACGAUAACACUGGAUAACUUCCCGGGUGAAAUGCUCACCGAUAUUCAUGCGCUUGUGGAUCAUUUCCUUAUUGCGUUACCAAAUAUCAACAAAGAACACGAGUGCUCAAGCUACUUGUAGGGUACCACGACCUAGGUACAUUGAAUGCACGAAGGCAUUCCUAGGGUUCUUAGCAGUGCGGUUGUCACCACGAGAACCAAAGAAAUGCAAUGGUCGAAUAGGUACAAGCAUACAAGAGUUUAAGCACAAAGAACCAAAAAGGCGGGAAAAUACACGGGUUUCACUUUCCAUUGACCCACUUGCCAUAGCAACGGCGGAAAUCACGAAAUUGGAAACAAAACAUCAAACAAGCAAAAGGACUCAAUCCGCAUCUUACUAGAUCGACGGGGAUUGAGAUCAAGAGAGAAGAACGAAAUCACACUCUUCCAACCAACACGCCAUAGAACGAAAAACGGUUGGUUAAAAGAGAUACGACCCCACAAUCUACUCCAACUCAUAACACUUCAUGACCUAGGUGCUUCUGCGGCACAAGGUCAUUCCUAUAGUUCCAGCUGAUGCGGUUGUCAUCGCGGGAACUAGGGGAAAUGUCCGAGUCUAGGUGGCAUAAGCAUACGAGACGGAAUAAAUAAACACGCGAGAAAAUAGGAUAAGCUCGAUGGCCAUGGCGAGGCGACUCGCGGCCAUGGGCUUCACCUAACAAGUUGGCUUCCGACUGUUAUACAAAGGUUGCUCCUAAUCUGUAUCCCACUAGACUAGAUCACAGAGGUCUCGAGUGUGCGGUUAAGAACCGCGUCGAUAAAGACAUCGAGUCCACGAUGACCACGUCUGCAAGACAAGAACAAGAGCUAACGACUGUAGCGCGACAGAGUCAACUGAACACAGGAAACGAGUUACGCUCGGCAUCACGAUCACGGCGGGACGAACCCACGAUCGAAACGAUCAAGUGCACUACCACUUCCCCGACCGGCUCGAAGGCUCAGUCCUCAGGCAAAUAACAAAAGAAAGAAUGACGACAACCCGAGAGAAGGGAUAUGCUUGGCACUAUGACCAUGGCGAGACAAACUCGCGAUCGCAACAUUCAAACACAUCAUUCUCUCAACCGGCUCGAAGGCACGGUUCACAACCAACCAACCACACCACACAAGAACCAACACACAAAGAACCACAAUGUCGCGACCAACACAAGACAAAAUAGAGUAGCACAUUUCCAUAACGUCCAACAGAGAUAGAUAAACAGAUAGAUAAUAGACCGGCACGAAGGCACGACACAGGCAUAGAAUAAAUAGAUCAUGUGAAAGGCGUACGACAUGUAUGAACGAUGAUAGAAAGAUGUACAAAAGCAAAAGGGGUUUUUUCGUCGGCGUCGACUAGGGUUCGACCUUGGUGGCGAGGAUGGCAGAGGGCUUCUAUAGCUUGGUUGCGGCUCGGCAAAGGCGGAGCUGGAGGAGAAGGCUUGGGGUUCGGCAACGCUUCGCAGGUUCGGCGCUCUGACAGCAGCGAUGUCUUAAGUCCAGCGGCUCCGACAAGUGGCACAGCGUGGCUGCAGCAUCCCUGCACAGUGAAGAACAUGGCACGAAGGCCGGUCUCAGCGAGGCAAAAUAGGAAGUUAACAAGUAGGGCACUUGCGCACUGGUGGCUCACUGGCGACAGAGACAGACUUGGUGAGGGCGCGUCGAGGCGAGGGCGAGGUAGCAGGGUGACCGUGGUCACCGCGUCCAGCGUCGCACGGCCAGGGUGACGACGUCGCGGUCCCAAGGGAGGUACGACAUCGGCGUGGAUGCAGCAAGGCCACGGCCUUGGGCUUGGGGGCGAGGCAUGGCGAGGAGGUGCUGGUGGCUCGGUAGGGGUCGGGGCAGAGCACAACAUCGUCGUGGUGGCACAGACCGGCAUCGGGGUUGGGGUCGCGGGUGCGUCGGGGCGAGGGCGAGGCCGACACGGCGCGGCCGCGGCUUGUGGACGACGGCGUCGCGAGGUUGGGGCUCGGCGCAGCGAGGGUGCGGAGGCGGCUCACGAGCUCCGGGGGCGAGCCGAGGUGCGGGCGAGGUUGGGGUUGAGGCACUUGGCGCGGUGCGGUCGUGGUUGUGGCAUCAUGCUCCGGCGGGGGUGCGGAGCUCUUGCUCGGCGUCGAGGUCGUGGCGAGGUCGAAGAUGCGGAUACGGACGCGGAGGGGCGCCAUGCUCGCGGUGCUGGCCGUGACGCGGCCACGGCAAGGUCCCGGUCGCGGGCGUGGCCUGCCGCUGCCCGCGGUCGUCGUCGUGGCGGCUUCGGCGGCGUGGUAGAGCAGCAGCGGGGUGAGGACGACGUGGUGCUCAUCGGCGUCCGUGCCACGGAGGCAGAGGGCGCGAUGCGGGUGCCGGGGCGCGGUGCGUGCUCUUCUGGCGACGGCGUCGGUGCUCCUGGGAGCCAGGGGGCGCGGGCGCACCAGCAGUGGCGCCGGCUCGGGCUUUUAUACGUGUCGUGGCCUAGGGUUCUAGGGGUGCUAGGCGCUACAGGCGGUGAUCCUCGGCGUCCGUGCCAUUGGGCGGGCCGCGUGGCGCACAUCUGGCAGCAGCACGGGCGCCCAGGGCACGAGUGCGGCGCUGCAGGGGCGUGACGGCGGGGCUCAGGAGGAGUAGGGGCGUGCUCUCCCUAGGGUUCGGGUGCCGGGGCGUCACUCCUAGGCCAAGCGUGGCCGGGCCAAGUUCUGGGUCGGGGCAGGUAGAUGGGCCGCGCGCAGGGGGCAGAGGGGGAAGGUGGCCCAGGCGGGGAGGAGAUGCCGACUAGGCCUUAGUGCGCGGGAUGGGCCUGGGGUGCGCGGCUCUGGGCCUGGCAGGCCUCCAGCUUGGCCAAGGGGAAGGGGAGGGCGCCGGUUGGGCCAAGGGAAGGAGGCAGUGGGGGGCUGGGCUUGUCAUUGCGAGCUGGGCCGAGGAGAGGAGGCAGGGGAGCUGGGCCGACGGGGGCUGGGGAGGCCGAGGCCUGGCUGGGCUAGGAGAAGAAGUGGGAGGAAGAGGAAAGGUUUUGGCCCAAGAGAGAAAGAAUGCUUUCCCAAAUAUGAAAAAGGAUUUUAAGGUUUAUUCAAAUGGAUAUUUGAAAUGAAUUCAGAGGAUUAUGUGAGAGAGAUUCAAGGAGAGAUUUGAAGGGGUUCAAGAGAGGAACCAAGCAGGCGAGAAAGAUCAUGAAGGGUUAGAAGGAGUUCGAAAGGAAUUGAAAGGAGUUUGAGACGUACUCCAAUGAGAAGGUUGAGAAAGGAUUCACUUCGCCUUUGAGACAGGCUCAACGAAGAUUCGGGAAGACUUUGCUAUGGAUUUGUGCACUCCAAAGAAACUCAAAACCCUAAAUAAGACUAAACACUAAUCCGACUCACGAACAAAGCACUUGCCUACAAGCAAUUCUAUAUGGAUGCAACGAUUUGUUAGCGGGUUAGGAUCGAUUUUUCACCUAGAAACUAUAUGAUUCACACAAUUCUAGGAAAAAUUUUAAAAAGCUCGUAUUUUUGGUUUACGCAAAAUUCUAGGAUGUUACAGUCCACCCUCCUUACAGGAAUCUCGUCCCCGAGAUUUAGGCGUUGCUCGGGCGGUGAAGAAGCAAGGGUGCUAUUCUCGAAGUUCCUCUUACUUCUGAGUUGUUUCACUUUAGUGUGAUCGCUCCACAAACUUUUUCCAAAAUAGGAAUGAGUCAUGUUUCGGGUGUAUCCAAGGCUCACUCGCGGGUGCUGGGUAUCCAAAUUCUUACAACAAGGCGAUAGGUAUCCAAGAAUCGCACCAGGUUGAUGAACAUCGGGCUCUUAAAGUUGAGACUAUUGUUAGUUGACCUAGAUCACCGUGCUCAAACCUUCCUAUUCGCUUGCUUGUUACUCUUCCAUGGAGUGGCAUCCGGUCAACAAAGGGUAGGGCAGGCUCAUGUUAGUUAGGGUUGUUGGCUUUCACAGCCGUUUUUCGUGCAUCACUUUUUGGAAAAAGCUUUUGAAAGGAAUGUUUUUUGGAAAAACAGGUUUCAUAAAUGGAGUGAAAGCGUUACAAAGUCAAAGGGGUUUUAAAGAUAGCUCAAACUGAAAAGAGCUUUUGAAAAGGGUUGAAAUCAACGCAAAUUUUGAAAACCAAAUUGAUUUAUUUUACUAUUUUAUUAUUAUUAUUAUUAUUUAAAAGAUUUUUUUAUGUAAAAGAUUUCAAAUCAAGAGACUUUGAAACUCUUUUAGUUUUCCAAAUGAGGUGUUGCUCUCUUUUAUUUGAAUUAAACAAACUAGUUUUGAAAAUGACUAGAAAUCAUUUCUCAUUUUGAAAGAUAAAGUUUUAACAACAAUAGCAUUUUCUUUUAAAACUUGUAAGUUCAUUUUCUUUUUGCCAAAUUUUUGUAAGGUCGCAAACAAAAAUCUUUUCGCGAUGGUUUUUGUUUAAUAAAUCACUGGAAAUUCCUUUUUCUUUUAAGGCAAGGUUGAAUUUUAAAAGGAAUUUGGCUCUUGAGAUAAAAUCAAAGACCUUUGAAACGAAACUGAGCCAAAGUUCUUUGGUUUGAAAACACUUUGUUGAUGAAAAAGCAAAACUUUUGUUUUUCUGAAGCGAUUUUGUCAUACUUUUUGCAAAAUGACUUGUUUUAAACCGUUUCAUAAAUAGCGUUUGAAUAAGGUUGAGUUGAAAGGGGAGUUAAAAUUGUUUUCUUUGUGAAAAGGAAGGAUAUUGAGAGAGUUUUGAAACACUUUCCCUUUUGAAACCAAGAUGUUUUUGUUAAAGAGGGGAUAUUUUAACCAAAAGGAGAGAAAAAUUUUCAACCAAAGGGGGCAAUUUGAAGACAAGUUUAGUUGGAAGCCAAAAACAGUUUUGAAAUAGAUGGGCAAGACAUGAUGCAUCAGCUUUACACCCUUUUUCAGCUCUGUUAGCCAGGGUCACCUAUCUAUUCUCAGGACGGUCUUAGGUUUAGUCGGCUAGAUUGGACGGGAUCCAGAGUCUUACUCGCAUAAAACAGGUUCUAUGACCUACACUCAAACAACAAGAAGCAGAAGAAACACAACAACAUAAAUUCCAAGCACUCAAACAGCAUUACCACUCCUAAUGCAUAGUGUUGACUUGAGGCGACUCACAGACCUUCAAAGUCUCACACGACUACCGAUCUAGCGUGGGCGGGUAUGGGAAAAGAUUCCAACGGUCAACUUUAUGAAAUAGGGAGGUCAGUUAGCAGUAGAAUUCAAGGUGGAGGGGGAAACAAGCGUUAGCAUCUAUAACUCUACAAAAGAUAGAAUGUUUGGCCUCUAAACUAGUGUUUGGUCCUAAAGGUCUCGUCCUAGGGUCAAGUAUGGCUCUGAUACCAACUGAAACGACCUAGAUUUUUCCACAAAGGGAAAAAUCCACAGAUUCGAAUUAUAAUGUGAUAAUUCAGAAAUUGAGCCAUCACAUUAUCAUAUAUCAGUUGUUAUCAUAGUCAUACAUCAUGAAAAACAAGAUUACAACACAUUUACUUUACAACUCUUGGUCAACAAGCCUAUUACAUCGUUUUUCUAGCGAAAACACACAUGGGUCUUUAUCAGAGUUGAUGUAGCGCGUCAGCGGUGAAGGCUCCACCUUCACGGGCAAUCAUCAGAGUCGGCGUAGUUUAUCAGCGGGCGUAGCCUUCAUCUACGAACCAAACUUGAGCGCAGGAACGAGACCACCUAAUCCUUCUAUUCUCCGUAGUUAUCGUCACACACCACGUUCAGAACCUGCUAAACAAUUUUCAGUACGGUUUGUACUGGCCACUGGCUCCCACCCUAUGCUUUUGCGUAAGCUUUGUGGUAAGUGGAAUGCAAAGGUAGAUCAAGAGGCCUAUAUAUAUGGCUGUAGUUUUUCCUAUGCAAGUUCAUCAAUCUUUAAUAAUAAUAAUUCAUCAAGUUUUAAUCCAUCUCAUCGACACAUCCAUCCAUCCAUACCAUCACACACAUCUCACCACACUCUCACUCUCUAGGCGGCAAGUACGACUCCCGCUCGUGCCUUGCCUCAACGGCCAACGCCGGAUCCAACGCAAACCCACGGGAAGGUAGAAACGACUCCUCUCUCUUGUCAAGUGAAGCUGUACUUAGGAAAGGUCCAUAGCCGACGAGUCGGCAUAUGUAUCGAUCGAUCAACCAAACUCUUCAGAGGUUUACAUUAACCACAAGAUCACCAUCAUCGACGGUGGCCCCCGUCUAGGCUGAUUCCGAGCUGCCUCCCAACUAAAUACGAUGCCACCCUACCACUCAGAACUGGGGCCAUACCGGAGUACCACCGGCAUGCUGAGACUGUGAGGCGUAGUAUCGGGCCCCAAAGGUCACUACGCUGUCUUAGGAGGGUGUGGGUCCUCAUGCCCGUACCUCCCUACACUAUCUGCUAUCAACCUAGUAGUAGUGGCACCGCACUAGCUGGUCGUACAUCCGUCCCGCACCAUAAUAAGGCGAGUGGCGUGUAAGGCUUCCUAAGACCCGGUCCACAGAACAUCUCAGUCCUUAGGGUGACCAAACAGGACAUCUUCACGAGGGGCCAACCGAUGCCCCGCUUGACGGGACAUCCGGCUACCCCGUGCUAAACAGCACCUCCCAUCCCGACGCUUCGUCCCACGAAGACACUCCACUCCGGGACCUCUCCCUGUCACAUGUACCCGCCAUAGGUAUCUCACAUGGAGAAUGCCCAGGUAGCGUCCCCCGGCAAGACUUGUCCCAAGACUCGUCGUAGAUCCUGUUCGGUCGACUCAACCCUCACCACACACCCAAGACACACGCCAAGAUCUCCCCAAAUCCUUUACCAUCUCAUUAUCCAGUUAUUGGCACCACGUGCCUUAUCCACUCACAUCCAAUCUCCCACAUUGCAUCACAUCACAGAUAUAAUGCGUAGUAGAAGCAGUAGCAAGUAGUAUGCAAGCAUCUAACCUGACAGCGGGUGUGCGAGGGUUAUAGGUUGCAACAAGGCAAUGGCUCACAAGCAUUUCUAUCAUGCAACCUAUCUCAGUUCAUUUGCAUAAAAGUAAAGCACUAGCAUCUACAUUAUUGCAUGUCUAAUAGGAUUCUACGAGGUUGGGUGGGACGUGGCACCUGUCGAAUGACAUUUCCCAGAUAAACAGUUCGCUUGUAGUUGUACUCAUCCAAGAUCCUUCUUUCCGCAUGUCUUUUCUUCAACGAGUCCCGAUCCGAUCAACGCUAACCUCGAAGCGACUACCUCGAAAGCGACAAACAAGGCGAAACAAUCAGACCGCUAGACCUAGAAAGACUGCAAAAAGAGGCAACAAAACACUUAAGAACAACUACACUAAGAGAGCACCGAAAUGAUAACAACUUGGCCCUCUCAGCGGAUGUCUGAUCCCUGGGCUAAAUAGGAAUGGCUGUUCACUAAGUACAAGUCAGAGUCUUAGCCUAGCCGAUGCUUCCCGGGUCAACUAAGUCAACCUUUACGACUUUAAUAAAUGGCUUAGACUCUAACUCAUUCUAAGCAAACACCACGGCUUACGGUCUUCCGAUCCAAGUGUCAUAGAGAUCGACGGGAAUCGAAAAGACUAUGAGCACGAGAAGUUCCGGUCUCUCUCAAUCCAUACGCCAUUGUAGUUGGCGAGAGCCAAGAGAGGGUGGAACAAAGAGAAAAGAAAAAGGGAGUGGUCUACUUCUUCCCAUCCACUCGCCAUGGUAAGAGACGGGGAAUUAGAAAGAGUGACACACCAAGAACACGAGUGCUCAAGCUACUUGUAGGGUACCACGACCUAGGUACAUUGAAUGCACUAAGACAUUCCUAGGGUUCUUAGCAGUGCGGUUGUCACCACGAGAACCAAAGAAAUGCAAUGGUCGAAUAGGUACAAGCAUACAAGUGUUUAAGCACAAAGAACCAAAAAGGCGGGAAAAGACACGGGUUUCACUUUCCAUUGACCCACUUGCCAUAGCAACGGCGGAAAUCACGGAAUUGGAAACAAAACAUCAAACAAGCAAAAGGACUCAAUCCGCAUCUUACUGGAUUGACGGGGAUUGAGAUCAAGAGAGAAGAACGAAAUCACACUCUUCCAACCAACAUGCCAUAGAAUGAAAAACGGUUGGUUAAAAGAGAUACGACCCCACAAUCUACUCCAACUCAUAACACUUCAUGACCUAGGUGCUUCUGCGGCACAAGGUCAUUCCUAUAGUUCCAGACGAUGCGGUUGUCAUCACGGGAACAAGGGGAAAUGUCCGGGUCUAGGUGGCAUAAGCAUACGAGACGGAAUAAAUAAACAGGCGAGAAAAUAGGAUAAGCUCGAUGGCCAUGGCGAGGCGACUUGCAGCCAUAGGCUUCACCUAACAAGUUGGCUUUCGACUGUUCUACAAAGGUUGCUCCUAAUCUGUAUCCCACUAGACUAGAUCACAGAGGUCUCGAGUGUGCGGGUAAGAACCGCGUCGAUAAAGACAUCGAGUCCACGAUGACCACGUCUGCGAGACAAGAACAAGAGCUAACGACUGUAGCGCGACAGAGUCAACUGAACACGGGAAACGAGUUACGCUCGGCAUCACGAUCACGGCGGGACGAACCCACGAUCGAAAUGAUCAAGUGCACUACCACUUCCCCGACCGGCUUGAAGGCCCAGUCCUCAGGCAAAUAACAAAAGAAAGAAUGAUGACAACCUGAGAGGAGGGAUAUGCUUGGCACUACGACCAUGGCGAGACAAACUCGCGAUCGCAACAUUCAAACACAUCAUUCUCUCAACCGGCUCGAAGGCACGGUUCACAACCAACUAACCACACCACACAAGAACCAACACACAAAGAACCACAAUGUCGCGACAAACACAAGACAAAAUAGAGUAGCACAUUUCCAUGACGUCCAACAGAGAUAGAUAAACAGAUAGAUAAUAGACCGGCAUGAAGGCACGACAAAGGCAUAGAAUAAAUAGAUCAUGUGAAAGGCGUACGACAUGUAUGAACGAUGAUAGAAAGAUGUACAAAAGCAAAAGGGGUUUUUUUGUCGGCGUCGACUAGGGUUCGACCUUGGUGGCGUGGAUGGCAGAGGGCUUCUAUAGCUUGGUCGUGGCUCGGCAAUGGCGGAGCUAGAGGAGAAGGCUUGGGGUUCGGCAACACUUCACAAGUUUGGCGCUCGGACAGCAGUGAUGUCUUAAGUCCAGCGGCUCCGACAAGUGGCAUAGCAUGGCUGCAGCAUCCCUGCACAGUGAAGAACACGGCACGAAGGCCAGUCUCAGCGAGGCAAAAUAGGAAGUUAACAAGUAGGGCACUUGCACACUGGUGGCUCACCGGCGACAGAGACAGACUUGGUGAGGGCACGUCGAGGCGAGGGCGAGGUAGCAGGGUGACCGUGGUCACCGCAUCCAGCGUCGCACGGCCAGGGUGACGACGUCGCGGCCCCAAGGGAGGUACGACAUCAGCGUGGAUGCAGCAAGGCCAUGGCCUUGGGCUUGGGGGCGAGGCAUGGCGAGGAGGUGCUGGUGGCUCGGUAGGGGUCAGGGCAGAGCACGACAUCGUCGUGGUGGCGCAGACCGGCAUCGGGGUCGGGGUCGCUGGUGCGUCGGGGCGAGGGCGAGGCCGACACGGCGCGGCCGCGGGUUGCGGACGACGGCGUCGCGAGGUCGGGGCUCGGCGCGGCGAGGGUGUGGAGGCGGCUCACGGGCUCCGGGGGCGAGCCGAGGUGCGGGCGAGGUUGGGGUCGAGGCACUUGGCACGGCACGGUCGUGGUUGUGGCGUCGUGCUCCAGCGGGCGUGCGGAGCUCUUGCUCGGCGUCGAGGUCGUGGCGAGGUCGAAGACGCGGAGGGGCGCCGUGCUCGUGGUGCUGGCCGUGACGCGGCCACGCCGAGGUCCCGGUCGCGGGCGUGGCCUGCUGCUGCCCGCGGUCGUCGUCGUGGCGGCUUCGGCGGUGUGGCAGAGCAGCAGCGGGGCGAGGACGACACGGCGCUCACCGGCGUCCAUGCCAUGGAGGCAGAGGCAGCGAUGCGGGUGCCGGGGCGCGGUGUGUGCUCUUCUGGCGACGGCGUCGGUGCUCCUGGGAGCCAGGGGGCGUGGGCGCACCAGCAGUGGCGGCGGCUCGGGAAGGGAGGAGAGCGGCGGCUCGGGCUUUUAUACGCGUCGUGGCCUAGGGUUCCAGGGGUGCUAGGCGCUGCGGGCGGUGAUCCUCGGCGUCCGUGCCGUUGGGCAGGCCACGUGGCGCACAUCUAGCAGCAGCACGGGAGCCCAGGGCACGAGCGCGGCGCUGCAGGGGCGCGGCGGCGGGGCUCAGGAGGAGCAGGGGCGCGCUCUCCCUAGGGUUCGGGUGCCGGGGCGUCACUCCUGGGCCAAGCGCGGCUGGGCCCAGUUCUGGGCCGGGGUAGGUAGAUGGGCCGUGCGCAGGGGGCAGAGGGGGAAGGUGGGCCAGGCUGGGAGGAGAAGCCGACUAGGCCGUAGUGCACGGGAUGGGCCUGGGGUGCGCGGCUCUGGGCCUGGCAGGCCUCCAGCUGGGCUAAGGGGAAGGGGAGGGCGCCAGUUGGGCCAAGGGAAGGAGGCAGUGGGGGGGCUGGGCUAGUCAUUGCGAGCUGGGCCGAGGAGAGGAGGCAGGGGAGCUGGGCCGAUGGGGGUUGGCGAGGCCGAGGCCUGGCUGGGCUAGGAGAAGAAGUGGGAGGAAGAGGAAAGGUUUUGGCCCAAGAGAGAAAGAAUGCUUUCCCAAAUAUGACAAAGGAUUUUAAGGUUUAUUCAAAUGGAUAUUUGAAAUGAAUUCAGAGGAUUAUGUGAGAGAGAUUCAAGGAGAGAUUUGAAGGGGUUCAAGAGAGGAACCAAGCAGGCGAGAAAGAUCAUGAAGGGUUAGAAGGAGUUCGAAAGGAAUUGAAAGGAGUUUGAGACGUACUCCAACGAGAAGGUUGAGAAAGGAUUCGCUAUGGAUUUGUGCACUCCAAAGAAACUCAAAACCCUAAAUAAGACUAAACACUAAACCGACUCACGAACAAAGCACUUGCCUACAAGCAAUUCUAUAUGGAUGCAACGAUUUGUUAGCGGGUUAGGAUCGAUUUUUCACCUAGAAACUAUAUGAUUCACACAAUUCUAGGAAAAAUUUUAAAAAGCUCGUAUUUUUGGUUUACGCAAAAUUCUGGGAUGUUACACCAGGUUGUCGAAUGGGCGAACUGGUCGACCAGUCCCCGAGCAUAUCUUGCUCGGUGGUCCAUUAUAGUCCCCAGGUUGUCGAAUGGGCGAACUGGUCGACCAGUCCCCGAGCAUAUCAUGCUCGGUGGUCGGUACAGUCCCCAGGUAUAUCAUGUUCAUCUGACUAAAGAUCCUACAUAUUUUUUGAAAAAAUCGUAUCGCCAUAUUAAUGUGCGAUGUGACGGAGCGUCCUGCCAUCUUGUCAGUCUACUGCAUAAAAAGGGGGGCCUGCGAACUGUACAUCCGCUCAUUGCGGGGAUCAAGAAAGGAAACCAGCAAUUAUUAAAAAAUGGCCACCAAAUUUACUGUGAUAGCUCUUGAAAACCGAAAAGACCGCCCACUUCCCCAUAAUGCGGGAAGUGGUAGAGGUGGGGCUGUUGUUAUAAAAGAGCCCAAGGUCGCACCAUUGUUCUGUACCCAGCAGUCGCGCACAAGUAUCCAUACUUCAUCUUCAUCAGCACCUUCAAUCCCUCAAAUCCGGGUUCAAAGCUUUCCGCAAGAAGGAAAUGGCAAAGAGCGACGCGAAGAAGAGGGCCGAGAUGAUGGCCAAGGAGUUGAAGAAGUCUCGGAGCAACACGAGGUCCCUCAAUGACCUCGUCGAGAUGGGGCUCCUGCGCAAUCAGGAGCUCGGCGGAUGGAGAGCACCAGAAGGGGAGAGUUACCAAGACCCAACCAGGAUGCACCGGGAUAACUUGGAAAAAUCAGAGAUCUAGCGGCGGAUGAACGAGUUAUUCAACCUAGCUGACAAUUAGCUUCGUUCGAAGUGAUGACCGGAUGCAUGCCUUCAAGCUAGAGCGACCAGCUCCUAAGGUAAAUGAAUACCUUGGUUUAUUUGUAAUGCUAUUGAAUACUGUAUCCUUUGGCUGAUGACUUGUCGUCCUUGUAUCACAGAUAGGAGAUAUUGACCGGUGCACGGUCUAUGUGUCGCUGGCACCCGGUAUGGACCAACCGACUGUGGUAGACCCGCCGGCAGACGAUGUUGCUCGGUGUUUCCAAUACACCAGCAGCUGCGAGGACCAGAGCCGUCUAGCACUGACCACGGAUGACAGAGUGGCCGAGAAGAGGCCAAUGGCUGUGGAGCCAUCCUCUACGAAAGUAAUUCCAGUGGGGACGGCUGUAGAUCCUUCGAUGGGCCAAGGCUCGAGCAGCCAUGCCCCCAAGCAUUGCCGGCUUGUGAGGAUUGUCGACGACGACAACGAAGAGGAUGAGACGGCCCCGUCCUUGGUCCGGAGACCACACAGGCACCCUAACGUCGUGCCGAGCGACGCUGGUCCGGUAACCAGUGACCCGCGUGCUGCACACAUCAAGCCGAUACGUCCUGGAGGAACAGAAGCAGCAGUGGCGGCUGGGCGGACUAGGAGAAGGUUCUUCACGGCGGCGCACCGGAGCUCUGACCUGUAAGUUCGAAAAAGCGUCUCUACACUCUCUUUUCUUUCUUUUUUUUACGAGGUUUCAUGUUGGUAUGAUAAUUUACAUUAACUCUUCUUUAUUAGUGCGGCCUCUGAUGUUGAUCUGGGCAACGUUGCUGGCUUGAGGACAACCGAGCCAGCAGUUGCCGAUGAUAAUGCCACCGAGCAGACUGUCCGCGAGCAGCCUGUGGAGCAGCCCGCAGUUGCGGCUACGACAGAGGUUGCCGAGGAGGACCUAGCCCAAGACAAGGCCGGGGCAAGCACCCCAACAAGGGGCAACGAGACCGCGGGGACUCCUCCCCCGAGCAGUGCAGUAGAGGAGGCGGACAAGGUUCCAUCCCCUGCUCCGGCUGAAGAAGAGAGGGCCCCGACUCCGACCCCAGCCGAGGCUUCCACGCUGGAGGGCUCUCCUAGUCGAGGUAAGGGUCCUAUGAUACCCGUUACCAUGGUUGAGGGUGGCGCAGAAGGCGAGGAGGCCCAGGCGGCCUCCGAUGAUGAAGUAGAGGAGAUCCAGGGGCGUCCCCGCGAUGGUAGCCAACACAUUUAUGUGUGGCGCCAGCGCGGGGAUCACUGGGUCGGCCACGAGGAGAUCGUCGAGACUGAGGAGGCGGAGAGGGUGGAGCGCGCUGCUAAGCGGCUCAUCAAUGAAGUUAGGGUAAGUGUCCUUAUGAUCUGCUGAAGUAUAUGUAUAUAUGUACCAUGGUUUGUUCACUGUGUGGUAUGUUUGAUGUCCAUAGGAUGCAAUGAAAAUGGCGAAGUACAGAAAAAGGUGCUUCGACCAAAUCGAGGGUGUGGUCGCCGAGAACAAGGCCUUGACUGCAGAGGUGGACCGCCUUCGUCUGGAGGCCGAAAGGGAGGCGGCCGAGAAGGUGGCUCAGGAUGAUCGUCUGCUAGACCUGACUCGGUGACUAGCCGAUAAGGACCGUGAGAAAAGGGGUAAGUCGAGUGAUCUGAGCAGUUGCAAUUAACCGCGUGGUCGGUUUUGAUGACCAACAAUUAUUGCUUCAGGUCUGGAGGAGGAGAUCGAGCGUCUCUGAAAAGAGAGGGACCAGCUCGACCAAGAGCGUGCCAGUGCCCGGGAAAUCGAGCGCAAUGUUGGCGAGUAGCUGAAGACCAGGAGUCGAGUGCUGGCUUGUAAGAGCUGUUUUGUCCUUUUCGACCACACAGUUCUCUCACUUUUUUAUAUUGCCGUAGCAUGUUGCUGACUGUGUGCUUGGUUUUUCUUGAAAACUUUGUCAUAGUGCUUAAAGCCAACACUAAGAAGCACCUUGAUGAGCUGGUCAAGGAACGGGACUCCUGGAAGAUGAACUACAUCAAGCUCUAGAAAGGAGUUGCCCCAGUACUGGACCUGAUCAGCCCCGAGCUCCUCGAGGACCAGCCCCGCACACCGAAACUUACCCCGGUCGAGAAGGCGCAGCAAGCGUGGGGCUGGCUUUAGCAGUUCAUCAAGGAUGCCGGGGAGUUUGCCGGAGCACACGGCCUCAGCAUGGUACGCGCUCACUACCCCCUGGUCGAUCUGUCCUGGCUAGAGAGGGGAUAUCCAAAGGAGGUUGGUCCGAAGGAGGCAGAUGACCUUCGCAUCGGCCUACUCGACCUAUCGUCGACGGUGAUCGGUGAUAUAAAUCUCUGCGAGACGUCAACCCCCCCGAUCAGCCGGGAUCAGACAUGUCGGCCAAGGAGUUGUCGGGGGCGUCGAUUGCAGGAGAUGGGCGGUCAACGCCUGCGGUCUCGACCAGCCAGGCGCCGGUGGCCCCGAACCCUUCGGCGGGACGAGAGAGCCGUGGGGGUGAUCAGCCCGAGCAGUAGGUUCGUAGAGUAGUCUAUAGGAGUAGUCUAGAAGCCGCCCAGAGGGGUGUUUAUUGUAAACUUUGUAUAUAAAGUAUGUAAUAAAGUCCAAAUUUUGAGAACCAUGGUUUUGAGCGUUGUAAAUAAAUUCACUUGUGUGAUGUAUCACUAAAUCAUGUUGAUUGCCCUUGAGUAGCUUGUCAAGGAAAGUUAUUGUAGCACUUGUUGAGUAUUCUGCAUAUGUAAAAGUAUAUAGCAAAAAAGACAAACUUUAUUAUUAUUCAUCAAAAAAGAUUUACAAGUAAAAUGUACUGAAACUUAGGGAUAGAAGCGUCGUAGUUUGUCUAUGUGCUAGGAGUAGGGUAGGCUUGUUCCAUCUGGGUACGCCAGUCUACAAGAUGUAGGGCGUGUAACUUCAGCGACCAUAAAAGGUCCCUCCCAGGGUGUAGAUAACAUGUGCAUUCCCUCCUGGCUUGUUUUCCAUUUGAGUACCAGAUCAUAGACCACGAAGGAGCGGUCUUUGAUGUUCUUGUUGUGGUAUCGUCUAAUGGCCUCGAGAUACUUUGCUGUUCGAAGGCAAGAAGUCAGGCGUCUCUCUUCUGUAUAGUUGAUUUCGAGUUCUCUGGCGAGGUCUACAGAAGACUGGUCGAAAUGUUCGACUCGUGGAGAUCCAAAGGCUACGUCCGAGGGGAGCACUACCUCGGCCCCAUAAACCAUAAAAUAGGGGGAUAAACCCGUGUUCCGACUAGGCUGUGUUCGAAGACCCCAGACCACUGCCGGUAACUCUUUCAUCCAACGCCCUGGUGCCCUGUCAUUUUCCAUGUACAGCCUUUUCUUUAGAGCAUCAAUAAUCAUUCCAUUUGCUCGCUCGACUUGACCGUUGGCUCGCGGAUGUGAUACCAACACAUACUUUAUGACUAUGCCUCUGUCAUCACAGAAGUGCCAGAAUGUAGUGCCGGUGAACUGAGUGCCCAGGUCGGUGAUUAUGCUAUUGGGAACCCCAAAUCUAUGUAUGAUUUGAUUGAGGAAUUCCACAGCCUUCUCGGAAGUCGCUUUGACCAGUGGCAUGUACUCGAUCCACUUUGAGAACUUAUCGAUUAGCACGAACACGAAUUUGAAAUUGUCGGGAGCCGGUUUGAAUGGCUCGAUCAUGUCAAGACCCCAACAGGCAAAUGGCCAAGACGACGGAAUCGUCUGGAUGUCAUGAUCAGGUACAUGGGUCCGUUUGGCGAAGAACUGGCAUCCUUCGCAAUGCCAGACUAGUUUCUCGGCGUCGGAGACUGCGGUUGGCCAGUAAAAACCUGCUCAGAAGACCUUUCCGACCAGUGUUCUAGAGGUGACGUGGUUGCCACAGGAUCCAGCAUGUAUGUCAUCUAGUAGCUUGAUGUCAUCGUCUUGAGUUAUGCACUUCAAAAAGACUUCUAAGUUUGCGUUCUUACGCAUAAGUCUACCAUCGACCAGUAUAUAAUUUUUGGAGCGCCGGAUAAGGCGCUCGUUUUCUAUUUUGUCUUGAAAUCCCUAACCGUCCGAGAGAUACUUAACGAAAGGAGCGCUCCAGUCGUUGCCAUUGGUUGUCGGAGCGGUGUUUCCUACGAGCAGCGUCUCGUUGUGUGGCUUGUCGACCAGGUCCGUUCCAACGCUAGGUGUGUGAAUGUCUUGAACAAAGACACCUUGCGGAAUCUGGGCCUCGGAUGAUCCUAUCUUUGACAGUGCAUCUGCUUCUUGAUUCUUGUCUCGGACCACGUGGAUGUAUUCUAUGCCAUAAAAAUUUGAUUCCCAUCUUCGGAUUUCUUUGUAGUACAGGUCCAUUAUCUCAUGGGUCGUGUCCCACUCCUUAUUUAACUGGUUAAUGAACAGAGCGGAGUCGCCAUAGACAUAAAGGCGCUUGACUCCUAGUUCGACGGCCAAUCGGAUGCCGUGCAGGCAUGCUUCGUACUCAGCGACAUUGUUGGAUGCCGGGAAGAGGAUCCUAAGGACGUAGCGUAGUUUGUCCUUGUUUGGUGAAAUGAAAAGGAUGCCAGCACCAGCGCCAUUGAUGUUUAAAGACCCGUCAAAGAACAUUGACCAGUGAUCGAAGACAUCUGGGGAGGGUGGUGCGUUGAGAUCCGUCCAUUCUGCGAUGAAGUUGACCAGGGCUUGAGACUUGACGGUUGUUCGACCCUGGAAAUCUAAUGAAAAUGGACAUAACUCCAUGGCCCAUUUAACAAUCCUGUCGUUGGCGUCCUUGUUGUGCAGGAUGUCCCCCAACAGGAAACUUGUGGUAACUAAGACGCGAUGGCCAUUGAAGUAGUGCUUCAGCUUCCUUGAAGUAAUUAAGAUGGCGUAGAUUAAUUUUUGUAUCUGGGGAUACCUAGUCUUAGACUCAUUUAAUAGUUUAUGAAGUAUACUAGUCUCUGAACUUUGUAGACGUGGCCUGGUUCAUCCCUCUCGACCACGAGCACCGUGGAAACGACCCGAUCAGUUGCUGCUAUAUAAAGGAGCAGGUCCUUGUUAGGUUGAGGUGCGGUGAGGACGGGUGGUGAGGUGAGGAAAGCUUUGAGCUGGGUGAACGCAGCGUUGACCUCUUCUGUCCAGGAGAAUUUUUCCGAUGCUUUUACAAGUCUGAAGAAGGGAAGCCCUUUUUCCCCCAGCCUAGAGAUAAACCGGCUGAGAGCAGCCAUGCACCCCUUGAGCUUUUGAACGUCUUUGACAUUCCUGGGUGGUCGCAUAUGGAGCACCGCCUUGACUUUUGAGGGAUGUGGCCGUAUGUGUUGAUGGUCCUUAAGUACCAAAUAUAGUCAUCAAAUAAAUAAAGAAAAGGAUCCAAAUGCAACCAACACCCAGACUUAGGGUUGUAUCUGACAGAAUUCCAUAAGUUUUGGUGUUUGUCUAUUUCUACAGGGGGUUAUCAAAAAAAUAUGGAGGAAAGGCCCACACGUCGGGUUUACAUAGAGAUAUUAACGUGCUGCGUAAUUUUCUAUCAUCUAGAAGAGUCCAGAAGCCACGGGAACGAACGGGAGGCCGAACGGGCCCGGGGGCAGGGCGCCCGCCCUCCCCCCUUGGUCGCCCGCCCUGGUACAAGCACCAAUCACAGAAUGGAGUACACCAUUACAAAGAUCUCAUCGAGCUGAUCGAAUUGCAUAUAUUAUUUGCUAUAUUUGGAGUUCAGAAUCAAGAUAUAUUAAUAAAAGAAGGACUCCACAUAAAAGAGCUGCAGGAUUAAUUGGGCCCAAAUCAGAUUUUGGUCCAUUAAGGCCUAUGUGCAUUUUAAUGAGAUAAGGUGGAAAGUUUAGUACCACAUCGCCUGCUGAACCAAAAAGGCACAAAGGAGGAGGCUAUAUAAGCAAGGCACCUGGCCCCUAGAGGAGAACACAUCAUUAUAGAGUUGAGAGGUGACCUCGAAGGAUAACCUUUCCUCUAUAUAGAAUUAGGGCUUAGCAUCCAAUGUGAGAUUUGAAUUAGUUUUCUAAGUUCUUCUAGAUUGAGAGAGAUAGAGUGGAGGUGUAGAUCAGAGGAAGCCCGACCUGUCGGUGUCUACUCUGAGGUUGUACCUACGGGAUCAAGUCUCCUAACCCGAGGCUUGCUCCUUGGAUUCUUCAGUAUUUCAACUUCUAAAUUCUAGUAAGUUCUUAUUCUUAUUGUUCUUUGGUUUAUGAGUUUACUUUAAUCUCUUCCCGUUGAGUUUAGAGUAAUCAUUGCUAGCAUAAACGUGGUGUUUGGGCUAGGGUACUCAUAGAUAUCCCCUGUCUAGCCAGACCGUGGUAGUAGCGAGGAACGUGACAUUUCCGAGUUACCGUUGUAGCCCACAUCCCGUUAGAAGGAUCGAUAGGGAUUAUAGGUGCGGGUCGAACAUCCUUUGUGGUGUCUAGAUUCCGUAAGCCUCCCCAAUAGAAUAGUAGAUCAUCCUUACCAAGGUUAGAACGAGAUUACGGUUGUAGUCUUCUCUAUACAUCGCUCACAUCGAAUCACAUUGUUUGUAGCAUAAAGGGUAGUAGCAAUAGAUUUGGUUAGUCAGAUGCACGCUUUCUCCCAGUGGUAAAAAUAUAAAUAUGAUGCUCUGGAUAACCUUCCGGGUGAAGUGCUCACCGAUAUUCGUGCACUUGCGGAUCAUUUCCCGAUGGCGUUACCAAAUAUCAACAAGCAUUUCUGGUGCCGGGGAGAAAGACGGUUUGCUGAGAUAACUUUAAGUCUUGCUAUUAUCUUGUAUUAUACUUUUAUUCUUUUAUCUUUUUAUUUUUUCCAUCUUUAUGGAUAAGUCAAAUUCCACACCUAUUAUUGAAUUUUUUACACCUUCGAAGACCAGCUAUAGACCAUGGGAGUCAACGAGUCCUUUCGUUGCCCGUAAUUAUGAUCUGUGUGCGGAGUUGAUUGCAAUAGGUCAAAACCAACCCUUUUCUAUAGCCGAGUUCCUAUCUUUUAAUCAAUAAGAUAAUGAACUUUUAGCUACACAUAGGGAAUCUUUUAAUCUUUCUAUAAAUUCUAGUUUAGACCUAGCCCUAUGAGACCAUGUUUUUCCUCGAUAUUUUCAGAUUGGUCUUAAUCAUAUAACCUUUGGUAGAGUUUUUCUUUCUUUAUUUGUUAGUAAAGCAAGGUAUGUCUUCAUUCGUGGACAUCCUUCUUGCACUAGACUUCAUAAAAAAUCCUAGAGAUAGAGAAGGAAUCAUCUCCCAGACGAGGAAAGAAAGUUUCAAUAGCCGAUUUCCAAACAUUUCAAUCCCAUGAUUCGGCUAUCCAACCCAAACUAGUAGUGCUCCAAAAUCAUCUAAGGGAAGAAGAAAUUCUACCUUUGGAAAUUCAUUUUGGGAUGAGCUUAAACUUCCUGCUUCAUAAGAGACCUUUGAGUGCAUAUAGUCUGAACCUUCCUAAGAAAGGAUCUCUUAGAAAGCAUCUCAAAUCCAAUCCCUUUGAUGAACAUCUAGAAAGACUCAAGGAUGGCAUCUUAAGUAAUGCAAUAGAAGGAGAGCGAAGCCAUUUAGAAGACAAUCUCAUCUUCUCCCCUUCUAUGCCCACUUUUGAUGACUCAUUUGAACCUAUCUUUAAACCCAUCCUUGAGCUUAAUAAUUUCUACUAUGCUCUUUCUCUUUUACCUCUCGAUGAUCCUAUGAAUCCCUCUAGACAUCCCAUGCAUAAGUGUCACCAAGACCACAAGGAGGAUCGAGAAGAGCAACAUCAAUGGCUGGAGGGCAUUAAAAAUCCAUGUGCUAUCACCAUUGAAAGGAUGGAUAAAACAAACUUGACAGACAAUCCUAGAGGAAUUUUAAGCAUUCAUGAAGAAUCAUCCUUGGGGUUUGAGAAGAGAGAAACAACAGUGAGCAUGGAAGUUAUUUCAUAAAUACCUCACCAAGUCCUUGCUCAUAUAAAACAUCUCCCCAAUCAAUUGGUCCCUCCAACCUUACCACAUAUGAGAUCUCCAGCCCCCUCUUCCUAUCUAUUUAUAAAUACUUUAAAAGGGCGGUUGUCGAUGUAUAUGUCUAUAAUAAAUAUUGCAGAUCUCAUUAUAGGUCAGUGUUGGAGGGGAAACCACUUCACCAACAUAAUUUGAUGGUUUCCCAAGGACAAGCUUAGCGUCCUAAAACAAGCACUUAUCAGAUCGUAACAUGAACUUUUAAUUAUUUACAAUAUUGCCUUGUGUAUUGAGCAUAUAAGGAUAAUUGUAAAAAUAUUCCUUCGGGUAUUCGUGUCACUAACCUUUCUAGGAUUCGAGCAAGAAGAUCCAAGGAAUGAUAAACGCAAGGUAUGCCCAACCAAUCAUCAUGCAACAUUGAAUUAAAUUCAUCCAAUCUUGAAUUUUGCAAAAUUCAAACUUGGGGGAAAUACCUUACAUAAAAACAUCAUUUGCCAUGUUGCUAUGUUGGUUGUCCUUACCUUUGAGACAUGCUCAGUUUGUUAAAUACUAAUCACACUACUUCAUCUCCACUUGAGUAGAUCUCUAUAAAAGCCAUCACGCUACCUUUGUUUAUCCUAGUAAGUGUUGGUUUGGAAGUACUGCACAUACUUCUAUUGGCUUUUAAAUUAAGCAUGGUGCUUAGGUUAAACAGCCUUCCUUAAUUUGAUUAGACAUGGAGUCUAGUUCGGUUAUUGAACUAAAAACUGCUUGAGUAGACAUUGGUAUAUUUUGUUGGACUAACCCCUACAGAAAAAAUCUUUCAAUAUCGAUUUGGGAAGACCUGAGAUAAACUCGCAUCAGAUAUAAAGAGAAAGACACAUGAAGUUUAACAAUUUGCACAAGAAGGACAUAGCUCAUUCAUCAUAGAGAGAUGAUCCAUGGAAUGAGACAAAGUACAUAAACAAGAUACACAACCAUUAUGAAUGAGAAGCUUCCACAAGGUUAUACUGUACCAUCACUCUUCAAGUAAGGUAAUAUCUUAAGGUACUUGACUAUCACUUUUAUAAGCUUCUCCUUGGUUCUGGCGUUCACAUGAAUAAAGAGACAAACAUAAAUUAACCAACCCAAUUAAUUCAACAUGUUUAGUCAUUUAAUCUUUGUUCCUAGUACUACCUCCAUGAUCCUACACUCCUAAUCAUAUGAGCUAAAAUGUUGCACAUUCAAUCUUUGGGAAGAUAUAAAGAAAAAGACAUAUACAUAGAUAGAUUAUCUUUCCAUAAGGUUGAGCGAUCUAAUCUGACAAAUGUUUUAAAUGCUACACUCAUGAACUUAUCACCCAUCAACUUUGUCUUGCUCCCUAUGCUUAAAGAUAGAGGAGAAUAAAUAUACUUUUGGUUCUAUUGGUGUUUUCCACCAACAGGGCCCAUGCACUUGAUCUCUGUCUUGUCUCUAUGAGCAGGUACACUUUGAGCAAAACCUGAAGGAGUUUUACAACUCCCAGAUUCCACCAAGUGAAGGACGUGGAUCUACGAGCACAAACACACUGAGCAAGAUACUGCCGAUGCCGCAGCCCGAACUGCUGGACAAACGAAGAACAUGGGUGACGCCGUAUCAAGAGGUGCAGAUGUCGAGGCCCGCACCUAAUCAAAUGAUGCACCUAAAGGAUGAACACGGUGAGAAGUCUUGUACAGAAGACUUAGAACAUUGGAUCCUUGCCGGAAGAGGUCAAGAUCGUCGACUCAAGUCGCCCUUCCUGAUCAAGAAGGACGACCUUGGUGUUCCAAGCAUCGAGUGCACAAUCAACGGAUACUCUUUUCAGAAGACACUCUACGACAUCGGAUCUGACGUCAACAUAAUGGCCGCAGUCACUUAUCAGCUCCUACAUGGAACCAUGCCCCUACAACCAACAUAUAUUCACCUCCGGAUGAUUUUCAGGUCAUUGACAUGGGAGAAGACGAGUACGAUCCACCCAUCAUCCUUGGAAGACCAUUCCUCAACAAUAUCAAAGUUAUCAUCUAUAUUGGAACCGAAGAAGUCCACAUGCACUUCCCCUCUGAGAAGGUACGCCACUACUUUAAUGAUUCUAACUAUAUAGUUGAAGAUUCUAAGCAGAUUAGGAUGAGAAGAAGGCGACGCAACCGAAACUAGAGGAGGCAAAUCAUCAAGGAUGGAUGGGCAGACUACAAAGGAGAUGUAAUAUGGUCCAAAGAUAUACAUCUUGAACAGGAUUGUCCAGAGGAGACCGUAGCACCAAAUCAGGUAUGGAUAGAGAAGAGAGUUGUACUAGAAGAGGAGGCGCCGCCGGAAUCCUAGGAUGACUGAAAACACAAGGAGUCCUAUUCGGAAGACUUAAAAACACUGAACACCGUGCCAAGAGGUAAACUUGGUAGUUGUCAUUUUCCUUUCGAAUUAUUUAUUUUCCUUGAAUACCUUGUUUAGUUAAUCGGGUUCAUACUAUCUUCAAAAGGAAAAUAAAAAUGCUAAAAAACAGUAAGCCCCAUGUGAGUAUACGAGUGGCGUAAAACCCAUAAGUACAUUCACUGUGGUGGCAUAAAAAUAAAAUAAAUAUUUUUUCUGCUCUAUAAAAAUGAAAAUAUAAAAAUAAGAUUAUGAUCCUACCAAGUUAUAUUUAUUAGGAGGAAUCUCAAUAUGAUAAAGGCUAAGAGAUUUUAUGCUAACACUUAACCAGUUCCACAAAGCUUUGUUGUCUAUUUGACCUCCACAGAAUCCAAGGAUCAAAGAAGACUAGUAGACGGAGGACAUCCUAAUCGCUGUCAGGGUGCUGCCGACAUUCAAAUACACCUCCGCCACCUGCUAGCUACAUCAGAAGAAAUUACGUCAAAAUCCAGCUUGGGGGAGAGCACCCCCAUUUAUCUAGCUAAGUGUUUCUACUCGCGUUUAUACUUUACCCAAAUAAAAAUUUUGUGCUUAUAUAUAUCUUUGCUUAGUUUGCUAAAUAAAUAAAUAAAGUGUCUAGGCCAAAGUGAACUUAAACGAUAAACUCUUACAUGGAUAUGAUAAAUAGUUGCUCUACCAUGUACCUAGUUUUCAAGUUUAAGCUCUCUCUCUCGUUUAGGCAUAACUGUUAUAAUUUAAAUCUGCUCUAAACCUGAACUUAUGGGAAGAGUACUUGAUAUAAAGUCUAAGUUGUUAACGGAUAUGAUAUGGUAAGGUUGAGCUACUGUUUUUCUGUUCCUAGAGAUGCUAGAAUUCUAGAGAAUUUUAUCUUUGAAAAUCUUUAAAAUAACACAUGAUGAGUUCCUGUAUGAUGAGAGUUUAAAUUCCUUCCACACCCAUAUAUACAUGCUUGCUAGACUUUGAGCCACACAUUUACUUUUUACUGCUUAGGAGCAUUGAGUGUGGUCAAGCUGUGUAGACCCUUAGGAGCUUGUCAUGUGGUUAAAAUCAAGAUUCACUUGCACGUUCACUCACACAUGCUACUUCUACUCCGGAAGUACGCAUUCACAUACAUCCACUCACUUCAAUCUCCACAGCCACCCAAAAGUAUUCUACUCCUAAUCCAGGAGAGAAUAGCCAAAAAUAUUUAUGUUUUUCCCUGUGAAAUAAAUGCUCGAGUUAUCUUGGUUACUACCACUUGCUAUAUUAUUUCAGGAGAUGAGUGCUCUAAAAAAAGAGGAUACGAGGAAAUAAAAAGGGGCAAGUGCCCGGAACCUCGAAGAAAAGAAAAAGUAAGACAAGAUGUAAAAAUGGACAAGUGUCCGACAGUAGAAUUAGGAGUACAAGAUACCCACCUAAGAGGAAACAAAAAGAAAAUAUAGAGCAUCUCAUUCUCCUCAAAAAGCUUCAAAGUGCAAGAAAGGUAUGUAUCCUCUUAAAAGAGCAAAAGUAAAAUUAGAUUUUCACCAUUGUUAUCACCAUCAUCACCAUACACCAUUCACUCACCACACAUGCACAUCUUGAUUUGACUUAUUGACUUGUUCUUCUGGAUCCAUGGUUUGACUAUGCAAUAAAUGUCUUGUAAGUAUGUAUUAUCUGUCUCCCACCUAUAAGCUCCAGAUAUCAAAACCUUAUUAGAGUAGGGUGAGAGAGAAGGCAAUACCACUAUGCCUCAUACCAAAAACACCACAUACUUUGAGAGAAGGCAUAUACCAUUGCUGCCUUGGAAAGGAUCCAGAAAUACCACAAACGAGAGAUUUCAGAGAAUCAUAUAAGGAAUCUCUCAGUUUUAUUUGAAAAUAUGCAAAAACUCUAGAGCUAUAGCUGAUCAAGAACAAGAGACAUGGCGCUUGACUAGACUAUUCUAUCUUUUAACUGCUGAAGACAAAAGUGAUGGUUGCAAGCCCCAUGGUGAAAGGUAAAAUGAGUAAGUUUUAAGUCUUAACAGUUUACUCUAACUCAGAGAUGAGAUCUUGCUUGAACGCAUGUGUACUUUUAAGACAUGAAACCACUGCAGAAACUCUUGAGUUCAUCCUUGCUCAGGGACGAGCAAGAGGUAAGCUUAGGGGAGUUGUUGACGGUCCUUAUGUACCAAAUAUAAUCAUCAAAUAAAUAAAGAAAAGGAUCCAAAUGCAACCAACACCCAGACUUAGGGUUGUAUCUGACAGAAUUCCAUGAGUUUUGAUGUUUGUCUAUUUCUGUAGGGGGUUAUCAGGAAAUAUGGAGGAAAGGCCCACACGUCAGGUUUACAUAGAGAUAUUAACGUGCUGCGCAAUUUUCUAUAAUCUAGAAGAGUCCAGAAGCCACGGGAACGAACGGGAGGCCGAACGGGCCCGGGGGCACGGCGCCCGCCCUCCCCCCUUGGGCGCCCGCCCUGGUACAAGCACCAAUCACAGAAUGGAGUACACCAUUACAAAGAUCUCGUCGAGCUGAUCGAAAUGCAUAUAUUAUUUGCUAUAUUUGGAGUUCGGAAUCAAGAGAUAUUAAUAAAAGAAAGACUCCACAUAAAAGAGCUGCGGGAUUAAUUGGGCCCAAAUCAAAUUUUGGUCGAUUAAGGCCUUUGUGCAUUUUAAUGAGAUAUGGUGGAAAGUUUAGUACCACAUCACCUGCUGAACCAAAAAUGCACAAAGGAGGAGGCUAUAUAAGCAAGACCCCUGGCCCCUGGAGGAGAACACAUCAUUAUAGAGUUGAGAGGUGCCCUCGAAGGAUAACCUUUCCUCUACAUAGAAUUAGGGCUUAGCAUCCAAUGUGAGAUUAGAAUUAGUUCUUCUAAGUUCUUCUAGAUUGAGAGAGAUAGAGUGGAGGUCUAGAUCGGAGGAAGCCCGGCCUGUCGGUGUCUCCUCCGAGGUUGUAUCUGCGGGAUCAAGUCUCAUAACCCGAGGCUUGCUCCUAGGAUUCUUCAGUAUUUCGACUUCUAAAUUCUAGUAAGUUGUUGUUCUUAUUGUUCUUUAGUUUAUGAGUUUACUUUAAUCUCUUCCGGUUGAGUUUAGAGUAAUCAUUGCUAGCGUAAACAUGGUGUUUGGGCUAGUGUACUCAUAGAUAUCCCCUGUCUAGCCGGACCGUGGUAGUAGCGAGGAACGUGACAUUUCCGAGUUACCUUUGUAGCCCACAUCCCGUUAGAAGGAUCGAUAGGGUUUAUAUGUGCGGGUCGAACAUCCUUUAUGGUGUCAAGAUUCCGUAAGCCUCCCCAAUAGAACAGUAGAUCAUCCUUACCAAGGUUAGAACGAGAUUACGGUUGUAGUCUUCUCUAUACAUCGCUCACAUCGAAUCACAUUGUUUGUAGCCUAAAGGGUAGUAGCAAUAGAUUUGGUUAGUCAGAUGCACGCUUUCUCCCAGUGGUAAAAAUAUAAAUACAAUACUCUGGAUAACCUCCCGGGUGAAGGGCUUAUCAAUAUCCGUGCGCUUAUAGAUCAUUUCCUGAGGGUGUUACCAAAUAUCAACAGUAUGCCUUCACGGCUGACGACGUUGCCGAGCAGUAUAUCAGAGGGAACCCCGAAGAUGCAUUUUUGGGGUUAAGCUUCCACUUGUAUUUAUUCAGCGCUUUAAAAGUGCGGUCUAAGUUGUCGAUCAGGGUGCCUGCGUCCUGGUUUUGACGACAACGUCGUUGACGUAAGCCUCGACAAGGUCAUCACGUAUCUCGUCAUUGAUAGGUGGCUCCAGUGUUUUUGAGUCCGAAGGACAUGGUGGUGUAGCAAUACGCACCGAAAGGAGUGAUGAAGGAAGUUUUGAUCUGGUCGUCUUCCUUUAGCGAGAUCUGGUGGUAACUAGAGUAACAGUCGAGAAAAGAGAAUUGUUCGCAUCCGGCUGUUGAAUCGACCACCUCGUCGAUAUGGGGGGCCAAAAGGAUUUUUAGGACAGUGUUUAUUGAGAUCAGUGUAAUCAACGCACAUUCUCCAUUGAUUAUUCUUUUUUCUUACAAGGACUGGAUUGGUGAGCCAAUCGGGGUGAUACACUUCUUUAAUAAAUCCGGCUGCCAAAAGCCGUGUAAUCUCUGUCCUAAUAGCCUCCUUUUUGUCACGAGCGAACCGUCGUAGCUUUUGCUUGAUAGGUCUUGUGGUCUUCAAGACGUUUAAGGAGUGCUCGAUCAGGCUUCGUGGGACGCCGGGUAUGUUUGUGGGUUUCCAUGCGAAAACGCUUACGUUGUUCCUUAGAAACCUGACGAGCACGUCUUCCUAUUUGGCGUCCAGGUUGACCCCGAUGAGAGCCGUCUUCUCUGGGCUGCCGUUGACCAGUUGUACUUCCUUGUGCUCUUUGGACUUGGAGCUUUUUCUUGGAGUCUCCUGCUCGAGUAGUUGGAGCUGGUUGGGUGGAACUUGCGUGGCUUGUGCUACAGUUUCUGCCAUGCGAAUUGAGUGAUCAAUUGCCUCGGUGAUCUUGAAGCUUUCCUCUUCGCAAGUGUACAUGGUGUAGACGUUGCCUCUGAUGGUUAAGACGCCCUUCUCGGUUGGCAUCUUGAGGACCAGGUAUGAGUAGUGUGGAACUGCCAUGAACAUUGUAAGCGAAGGACGGCCUAGAAUUGCGUGGUAAGUCCUGUCGAAGUCGGCGACCACAAAGUUGAUGAACUCUAUGCGGAAGUGGUCUGGCGUUCUUCCGAACUAGACGGGCAGCGUUAUCUGGCCGAGGGGUACUUAGCGUCAUACGGUUUUAGCUGCGCCGGAGUUAGCUUGAGAGCAGGCAAGCUAUUGCGGAACAGGAUAUCGAUAGAGCUGCCCCCGUCAACGAGCACGCGCUCGAACCUGACGCUGUUGAUGCACGAGUCUAGAAUCAACGGAAAAUGCUCUGGUUCUGGGAUGGCGGCUCACUAGUCCUGCCUGUUGAAGGAAAUCUCACGGUGCGACCAGGGAGGUAAUUUAGGAUCGGUGAACAAACCAUCGGCGCAGUCCACAUUAAGGCAAGCCCGCUUCAAGAGCUUUCUUUCUCGUUUUGACUCGAUGGAGACUUUGCCUCCAAAGAUGGAGUGUACCCCAUGGUGGGGCUGACAUAUUGGUGCCGUGGGUCCCUAUCCUGGUCAUCGUCCUCGUCUUCCUGACAGCGUCUGUCCUGUUUCCCGUUUUUCUUGGCGGCAUCUCCCUGAGCGGCCUGAUGUGUGUAGAUGCUUUUGAGGACACGGCAUUCUUCCAUCGUGUGGUUGGACUUGGGAUGGAGUUGGCACAGUCCUUUCAACAUUUUAUAGUAGUCUUCCUAGUAGUCACGUCGUCCAUUGGGACGCUUGAUUGUGUUCACCUCGUGAUCGUUGUCGCGAGGUCGCUCGCCUCUAAAAAGUCACGAUUUUCACGACGCCUGUCCCACACUUCUCGGUGGUCGCGGUUGUCGCCGCGGCGGGGAUUCCGGUUAUCGAAACGCCCACGGCUGUCGUCUCGUCGGGGAGGUGGCUCGGCUCCUGUUACGUCUUCUCGGAUAAGCUUUUCUGCGUCGUCGGCAUCGGCGUAGUUUUUGGCCGUAGCGAGGAGCUCGGCGACCGUGGUCGGCCUUUUGCGUAGUAGCUUGCUUCUUAAUGCUUCGUGGAAGCGUAGGCCCUUGAUGAAGGCUGAUAUGGCCUCGUUGUGAGAAAUCUUCGGAAUCUUGAGGCGCAUAUCCGAGAAGCAUCAGAUGUAAUCGCGUAAGGGCUCGUUUUUCCUGUCCCUUAUCCUCUCGAGAUCAUAUUUGUUUCUAGGCUGCUCGCAGGUAGCGAUGAAAUUAUCAAUAAACGCCUGGCGCAAUUCAUCCCAAGAAUCGAAAGAGUCCUCGGGUAGACCGAGGAGCCAUUGUUGGCUAGCUUGGUCGAGGACGACUGGGAAGUAGUUUGCCAUGACGUGCUCGUCCCCUCCUGCUGAUCGGACUACGAUCUCGUAAAGAGUGAUCCAGUUUUCAGGAUUCUCCUUGCCAUCAUACUAUUUAAGCUUCUCGAGCUUGAAGUUGCGGGGCCAUAUGACUUGGCAAAGGUAUGAGGAGAACUGUCUUAGGCCGGGAGGGCCAUGUGUUGCAUCGUACUUGAUGCGUCGCACGUUUUCAUGUACUGCUCUUUCCACAAUGCACUUGUUGAUGCGCUCGCGGACGUCCUUAGGAGGGAUGUUGUGUCAUAGAUCUUAGUCUUGGUUCACCUCCUGACCACGUCCGCAUCUUUGUUUGUGGUAACUGCCAGCGUCCCGACCACAAUUAUCGCGGUGGGUGUCCUUCCUCCGAUUAUUGAUAGGCGAAUGGCUACGAUGAUGUCCGCCGGUUCGCGGUGAGGUGCGGCUGCGAUGAGUCUGGUUAGAGGUGACCUCCAUAUAGGAGACGGUUUGGACCCAUUUGAGCAGAGUGGCGGUCUACCCCAUGGUCGUGAUCAGAUGCGCCCGUAUGUUGGUACGAGCAUCCUGAUAUUCUAGGGUAUCCAGAAGUCGAUCAAGAUUUGCCAUGGCGACGGCCACGUUGGCACUUGGUGUCUUGAACACUUGCUGAUUUCCAACCAUGUCAAAAGCAUCGUCAAGGUUGUUUGGGGUUAAUUGUCGCUGCUCAUCUGCUCGUCGCUGAGCUCGAUCGGCGUUGCGUUGUUCGCGCUAUUGUCUUUGUUUGUCGGUUUCACCGUCAACAACUGGUUCGUCAUUGCUGACAUUGAAAACCAGAUCUCCUCGUCGAGGUGAAAGGACUGCAAAGUGAGAAAAACCCAAGGGGUAAGGUGGUAGAUCCAGGUCGUAGUCUUCGUCAUUGGGGUGUAAAACAUCGGUAGGGACAGAUCCUGUGCUAGAGUUUGUGCAGGUGGCCUUGUCGUCUGGUAGGGUUCGGAUGGAUACCAUGUUGACAAAGUGAUGAUCCGACCUAUUGGUUUGCCCUGGCGACAAUCCCAUCUUCCCGAAUAGAGAAUCGGUAUGCCGUGAAAACUGAUCAGCCGCGUUGUUCAGACCGUGACGGAAGUUCUGGUGUGGCGAGGCUGUCUUGAACUUGAUAGUCCGUCCCGCGGUGGUCGAUGUUAUCGUCAGGGAUGUCUCCAGUCGUUCGUGCGUGGAGACACAAGUUGGUUGACAGGAUUCAAAAAAAUUUGAUGUUGCCGCCUGAUCGGGCCUGCGUGAAAUCGAAUCCACCAAGUUGGAGGCUUCGAGAAGUUUGUGGUCGGCGCGAUCGAGGGCUUGAAGCAGAUCCGAGUUGUCGACUCGCUUUGCCCUGUAGCGAGGGAGCGGAGGUCGGGUCCUCGGAGUCGGCGUGAUCAGAGUCGACGCCUCUGCUGUCCCAGAUUGGAUCUGGGUUUCUUCUGUAGUCGUGGUCGUAAGGCCGCCGUCGUGAGUUGUCCAAGUGAUCUGCCCGACGGUGAACAUGGGACCUUCAGCCACGGCUGCGGAAGCUGGGACAAUGACCAUCUUGUUCGUCUGGGAAGCUGUGUGCACUCCCCCUACCUGGCGCGCCACUGUUGACGAAAGCUAGUCGGCAAUCUACCUUGGGGUAUACCCACGGUAGUAGUUUAUCGGCAGACAGGUGCGCAAGCUACGAACUUGAUGGUGACGCAAGACACGGACAAGGUUUUUAUCCAGGUUCGGCCGCCGUGUGGGCAUAAUACCUACGUCUUGUGUCUGAUUGUAUUGCUGUGGAUUGUGUUGAGUUGAGAUGAGAUGUCCUAGGGGGGUCCCUUGCCUCUCUUUAUAUAGUCCAGAGGGCAGGGUUACAGAUCCGGAAACUAAUCCCAGUCGGUUACAAUUGCCAUAGAUAACACGAUAUCAAUUCCUAUUCUAACCGACUAGAAUCUGGCUUGAUCUCCACGUCUUGUUUCCUUGCGUGAAACUCCGAGCAGUUGGAUCAAGCUUCGAACUCUCUUGUGAUGGGCCAAGUCUCCUGGCCCAAGUCUAGCCGUAAGGGUAUAGGGGUUUAUACCGUCGCAUCCUUCGUCCAGAUCAGGCAUUGCUUAGAGGUCCUAUUCAGUACGGAUGGAUAUACCAGUAGAAAGGCGACUAGGCACAUUGAAGAAUUUUGUAAGGAAUAGGGCUAGGCCGGAAGGUUCAAUUGCUGAGGCUUAUGUUGCAAGUGACACGCUGACAUUUUGUUCUUGGUACAUGGAGGAUGUUGAGACUAAAUUUAACCAAUAUGAUGGUAGUGGAGGAGAUGGGGAGGUGGUUGGUGACGUCUCUAUUUUUAUGCAUGGUGUUACUGUUGUUGGUUCAAAUAGGAUAAUUUGAAAAUGGUCUGCUCAACAAGUUAGUUUGGUAUGUGCUAAAUAACUGUGACAAAGUUGGGCCAUAUUUGCAGUAUGUAUCAUUUUCAAAUUUUGGAAAAUCAUGUUUUUUCAUAAUGAUUUAAUUUUUUCCUGCAGCAUGUACAGAGAAGAGUUAGUAAAGGAAGGAGCACAUGAUGUUGAUAAAAGGCUUGAACAAGGAUUUUGAAAAUGGUUUAGAAGCCAUGUAUGUCACUGCAUCUUGUAUGUUUUUUAGAUUUCCUUCAUGGUUUAGGAGCCAUAUUUAAUUGGUUGAUCCGAUUAAUUUUAUUGCACCCCAGGUCAUGAAGCUAAGCAAGGAGAAGCCAUAGGAUGUUAGUGAAGGAUUGUAUGCUCUUUCAUGUGGGCUAGAUCUUAGAGUGAAGAGUUGUGCAGCUUGCGUUGUUAAUGGAGUGCGAUAUAGCACUAUGGACCGUGAGAAGUACCUACUGACGACAAAAUAGUGGUGUGACGACCGAAGGUGCACAUGAGGGUGAGAACAUUGAUUUUUAUGGUGUCUUGAAGGAGGUAAUUGAGUUGGGAUAUAAUUCCAAUCUUGAAUUUUGUCAUUCGGUGGUUCUAUUUCAAUGUGAUUGGUACAAUCUAUGUGGUAAGUCAAGAGGCAUGCGAGAUGAUGGAUAUUUCAAAUCCAUCAACAUGCAAUCCUUACGGUACAGGUCUGUUCUUUUCAUAUUGGCUACUCAAUCUACAAAUGUAUUUUACUUAGAAGACGCAUCUUUAGGCAAAGAUUGGCAAGUUGUGCAAAAAUUUGAACAUAUGCAUAUUUACGAUGUGGCUGAAAAAGAUGAGCCUAGUCAUCAUGAUGUACAUCAGGAUGAUCAUUGUUCUGAUAGCAAGAAUGUUGUAGAAGAAGGGAAUGUUCAUGAGGUCAUGCACCAUGUUCUGGGUGGAGAAGGCACUAUACUUGAAGGUAAUUUAGUAGAGAAUAGAAGAAACAAGAAGCAACCUUCAAUUCUUAAAGAUAGUGAGGAUAACGAUGAAGACCAAACUGUAAUGCAAUAUUGCAGUGAUGGUGACAAUGACAAGAACGCAGAUGGCAUGUGCCUAGACGAUGACGAUGAAGAUGAUGAUUUGGAGACCUAGAUUCCUGGUGUACUAGUAUGCUACCAUUCUUGAUGUACUAGAUAUUGGUACAACAUUUAUUUGUUUUUAGUGAUUCAAAUCUUCGCUAUUUUCACUAACAUUAAGAUCCAAAAGACCACAUUCAGUUUCAGAUAAACCACAUUCAGAUAAAUCACUAGGACUUGAGUUGCAGUGCUGGGCAUUCCACCAGGCCUUACCAUAAUAUCCAAAAGACUUGAGUUCAGAUAAAUCAUGACUAUACUAGGUGCUGCUAGGUCCUAACAUAUCAUGUAUCUACAUAACUUAAGUGCUGCACAUUCCAGGGCCUACCAUAACUAAAAGAAGACUAAGUCCAAUUUCCAUUACAAGUUAGUUCCAAAAUGUCUUCCUGCUGGCCUUCAGUGCAGGGGUUUCUUCAGCUAUUCCAGAUCGUCCUUGAUUUGCUGGAUGAUCAAGUCCUUGUCCGCUUCUGUUUUCUUCAACGCAUAGAUUCUAACGCCAUUUUUCGAAAAUCAUCACGCCCAACUUCUUCUCCAACUGCUUGACUUUGGCACCCAUCUUCUUCUCCAACUCCUUCACUUUCUUGCAGCAUAUACAGAUCAACUUUACUGAACUUUCUUAAGGUCAACUAAACGACCACAUUCACAAAAUGCACUAGGACUCAACAUUCAAUUUCAUUUAGUUGCAAUAAUCCACACUCAGUUUCAGACAGAACCACAUUCAGAUAGCAGGUAAUGUGCAGGUUCAGAUCACAUAUAUCAUAGGUAAUCUCAGAUGCAGACCAAGACCUAUGACCUUGAAACUGCCUACACCUGUUUGAAAAUGAAUGAGUAGGAAUUUUGGAUAACAGUAUAAGAAAAGAAAGAUGGCAGGCGGCUAACCCUUCAAGUAGUAAGGCAUGCAAUCACUGGAGGGAGCAAACUUAAUAGGAGGAAGGAAGAAUGUAGUAAGACAUACGUGGCUGUGCUAAUUGGAGCUAGGAAAGAUACUAAUUCUAUGUGGUACUGAAAUCCUUAUCAACACCCAAAACUUGAGUCUAAAACAUUGUUGUGCUACUACUGCAGUGCCGUGCUACUACUGCAGUUACUUAUCCUACUAAAGGCAUGGCUAGCUGCUUAAAAAACAUUUCAAGGACACAAACCGUAUUUUCACAUUAGCUCAAAAGUACAGAGAUGCUAUUCAUUCAUUACGAUAGAAACCCUAUUCAUUCAUUUUCUACAACAUUAUGACAGUAACCUGCCAAUCUGAACUCAACCAUGAAAAUACAGAGAUGCUAUUUCAAGACAUGAUAAUAUGGUUUGGGACCUGUGCACAAAAAUUCUGGCUCAAUGCACAAUAAUUUUUAUGCACACUAAAAAUUUUGGGACCUGUGCACCAGCUUAGAACCUGCAAAGUAGUCUCCUAGACAUGCUCUAGUGCUGUCAUGAUCGCUAACAACCACUUUAAGCAUAUCUACACAUUUGCAAAUCGUCUUUUCUCUUUCACAUAGCACUAGGCAAGGGAAUCUUAUAAAAGAACUUUACUUCUUGUCCACACCUAGGAUUUACUUUAGUAGACACUUAAUGCCACAUCAUUUAGAGUGCUAAAGUGCUUAGGGUAGGGGUCAGCCGACCCCUACAUUGGCUAAUCUCUGGAAAAUAGUUCAUAUAUGUUGCAAGAUUCCCUGCCAUGAUUCAAAAUUUUGAAACAUAGUGCUUAUGGGGAGGUCGGCCGACGCCCACAUUGGGGUGUUCACCACUUGCCCUUCUUCCCCUAUAAAUACCCAUGCAUUGUGAGCUCAAUUCCACACCCAAAACCACCAAAAUUAUCUCGAGCUCACAAUCCCUCUUCUCUCUUCUUACUUGCAAGUUAUUUCUCAAGAUUAGAAUAAUUGACCUUAAAAAAACCAAAAAAUAUUUAGUCUUGCAUAGGAGUAGAAGUUGGAAAAAGUUUGGUUGUCUGUGUUGUGCAGGAAAAUGGAGAAAGCAUUCCUCUCCCGAUUCUAGAAGUCCAAAGGGGGUGAGAGUUGUUCUCAAAGCUCUCACCACUCUAAUGAGGGAAGCCAUGAGAGGAUGGAGGAAGGGGAGAGUCACCAUCAAGUGGUGCUCUACGAACCUCCUCCAACAGCAAUGGAGCCUAAAGAAUGAACUCAUAUUAACACCGGAAGAGAUGAUCAAGUUCAACAACCUAAAGGAGAGCGGUUUCCGCCAUACAAGCAUCCUCGACCCGGCCCUUGUGGACUGCACAGGUAUGACUAAAGAAUUCAAUGAUAUUUUAAUACCAUUGGUUUGGGAGGUUUUUGGUGAGUACCUUAAGCUUGGUAUAGAAGUGCUCACUGAAGAAUUUUUAUGCACACUAAAAUUGACUCAUAACAUUUUGCAUGUGUGGGCAAGAGUGUAGUUGUACUUGGGGUCUUCUAACCACUGCUCUAGGUUGUAACUUCGAUUGUACAAUUGACUUAGACACUACCAUGCCUAGGUUUCACAAGAGUAGAUUUUGAUGAUUGCUCCACUCUCUUAACCUCUAAAAUUCACAAUCCAACCUUGUGCUUAAUUUAUUUCUGGAUUACUACCAAUCUUUUUCUUGGUUCUUCUAACUCUCUAAAAGAUGAUGAACUAAAAUAGCUCUAUGCUAUGGUACACAAGAUUGAAAUUUCCCCUGUUAAAUUGAUGAUAAGAUUUUAGCUACCUACCAAUGACCCACCUUGGUCCUGUUGGUGUGUUGCCACCAGCUGGACCCCUACACUUGAUGUUUCCCAUGUCUUUGGAUUUCAGAAUGCUCAAGAAUCCAAGUUUGGGGGGUCAAGUGGCCCCCCAAACUAAGUCUCUGAAUUUCCUGAACACACCAUGACCUAGUACAUGGUGAGGCAAGUUGGCUCGACAAAUUCUACCCAAAGUAGGGGGUCGGCCGACCCCCUCUUUGACGGACAACGGGAACAGAAGCUUGCAAAGGUACAUCAUCAACAAUGGGAAUUCAAAUGGCAGCAAUGGGCAAGCCGAAGUGGGGUCGGCCGACCCCACCUUGGAGCCCUGGACCCACCGUUCAGCAUCCACUCAACGUCUACCUGCCUUCUGUCUCGUUUGCCACUCCAACUCCCCCUCUGUUCUUUGAUUUUUAUUACUUCUGUCUCUUGUUUGCUUUAUUAGAUAAAAUAAAAAAAUAAAAACGAGAAGACUUGGAUCUAUGAUUUAUGACAUUAAAAGGGUAAAAGUGUCACAAAGUCUAAUUCUUUCAUAUGCUUAUACUUGUGGGUCAUAUAUCUUGAUAGGAAUACCAUAAUGACUUGAUUGUUGAGAAUUGUGAUAUAGUUCUUAACUCAUGAUUCAUACCCUUUAUAUUCAAAGUGCUUAGAGAUUUAUUUUUGAAAAUAUCAUAAAACCAUAGUGUCACUUACUCCUCAAUAGUAAGAGAAUUCCUACCACAGCCAUAUAUGUUCAUACCUUGUUCAAAACCCUUCUAUAUAUGCUACUUGUACUUGUGUUGAGUUUAGUCAAACCUUGUGACCCUAGUUGAGAAUUAUGUCAUAGUCCCAAGAUCAAGAUCACAAACACACCACAUAUAUAUGCUGCUUCUACACUGGAAGUACGCAAAAAUAGGCCAUCCAUUUUACCAUAUAGAAGCUCCUUGUUUUAAGGUUUAGAAUAUCUCUCUCAAAUUAUUGUUUAUAAGAUGAGACACAAAGGCUAUGCUUAGUAAAAAAAAGUGGGCACAUGAAGGUCAAUUCCUUUUAAAAAAAAAGAAAAAAAACUAGCCAGGUCUCAAAUAAAAUAGAGAGAGAUCUUAUUAAAUAGAGGAGCAUUCUAUUCUAAUCAUUAUUCACACACUUACACAUCAUGAUCUAGGAUUAUGACAUUCUUCUCCUUGGAUCCUUGUUUUGACUUUACAAUAGAUACAAUACAAGUAUGCUAUCUUGUUUCUCCCUACCUGAGCCCCAUAAGCCUAUUAGAUGUAGCAUGAAACAAAAGAAGGCAAUCUUAUGCUAUGCCUUGGUGAGGAAUCCUAUACUUGCUGAGUGACUUAAGAGUACUAUUAGAGGAGUAAGGAUGAACUAUGUGCUUUCUUUUAAAACAUUUAUCAAAAACUCUAAGUACAAAUGAUAUGAAAAUGGGAAGAUGUCUUUGCUUUGAGAACUGCUCCAUUUUUCAACAUCCUAAGGAUAUAUGUUGGACAGUGCCACAUAACCCACUUGUAUAAGAUAUGUCUUGAGUAGUCUUUGUGUUUACUUAUAUCUUAAAUGUGUCAUAAUCAUAGGUUAUCUUUCUCUAACCUUUUCUCGAGGACAAGCAAAGACUUAUGUGUGGGGGUUCUUGUUGAUGGUAGAUAAGCCCUAUUUUUACCCCAUCAAAACCGUCAACAAUACAUUCUUUUUGGAAGAAAAUCACCAAACCCAUAGUGUCUUAGGUACAAAUAACUUGGUUCCACAUGUACAUGUCAUCAUUUGGAUGCAGGUGUGCAAUCGACUACUUUUCAGGGUUAAGAAGCUCUAUAUGAAGGUUGGACUACCACCCUAGAAUGCCCAAUUGGAAAACCAACUUCACAUUCAUCAAUCUCAUAGCUUCUGGAGACAAUGUGCAAAAGAUGGGCACAUUAGUGGGGUCGGCCGAUCCCACCUUUGUGGGCCUAGCACCACCACUGUGCUCAUAAUGUCACCAGGAAGUCACCUGCAGAAGAUGAACCUUUGGUUCUACCAAAGUGGGAUCAACCGAUCCCACUACGGGGCCAUCCAGCCACCUGGUUUGCACCAACCGACAUGCAUGGAUUCCUUCUAGAAGACAACACCGGUCCCACCUGUCAUUGGGUGGGUCGGCCUACCCUAAGGUUGGGAGCUUCCAAGGUCGGUUGCACCCCACCGACGUCCCCAUGAUGAACAUGUGAUGGAAAUCCCCAACUGUUGAUCAUAUGGCGGUUCCAAGGUCAGUUUAUCCAAUGGUGCAUGCUGGAGGUCACGCAGAUUGCUGACGUGGUAGUGGAGUAGCCCAUACUCCACAUCCUGAUAUAAAUACCCCCUAUAGGCCUUCAUCUCAUAUCAUCUCACACUUCAAGAUCCACUUGUUACAAUGUAGGGUAGUAGUAGUUAGUCUAGUGUGGGAGUUAGAGUUGAGUCGAGCGAAGCUCGGAGUCUCCAGAGUCGUCUUCUAGAGAGUCUAGUAUUCCUCUUUACCUUUUCUCUUGUAAGACUUUGAAUAUUUAAUAUAUUUACUUUUCCUUUACUCUUCUAAGUAUUUACUUUUAGUAUUUGCUUAGUGCAAUAUUCUAUUGUAGUGUCCUAGUCUGUCUUAUAGUAGUUAUAUACUAGCUAAGUUAGUCUUAAGUACUUGGGUUGUUUUCUCUGCCGGUAACACGGUGCUUGGACUAGGUCGUAUACUUAGUCUGAGUAGUAGGAGUUAGCAUAAGCAUGGUGCUUAGACUAAAGCCUACCCUUGAAUACCACCAUAUCAAACGUGAUAGCGGGCGGCGGUGAAGCGUGACAGGCCUCUGCUUGCCAGUACGUUCUAUUCACAUCGGGUACGAUCUGUAGGCGCCCAUAAGAAACGAGUCCGCUUGGAUAGGAGUUUUGUCCUCCUAUUGCAGUCAACUUCCAACAAACAAGUAGUUAAGUUUAGUGAAGUUAGUGUGUGUCAGCUACUAGAUUAGAUUGGUUCACAGGAGUAAAGUUAGAGUCAUAGGAGUCUAUACUCACUCGUUGUCCUCCCACAUAGCAAGCUCUCUACCAUUUAUCUUUAGAUUAGGAUCUGUGUGAGAUCACUUACCUAUUCUUGACCCUUUGGAUGACCUUGAGCCUAGUAAGUUCACUUCACAUUCCCCGUGGAAAAUACAAUACCUAGAAUACUCCCGGUGAAAGCUACAUUAACUAUCGUACGCUUGCGGUAUUUCCGUUUGCCACUUCUAGAGUCAACAGGCUUUCUGGCACUAUUGUAGGGAUGGACUUUUAGUCUAUCUUUUGUGAUGACACUAUGAAUUGCCAACAAUGCAUAUCCAGUACCACAAAGUCUACUGGCACGAACAAGUCUCUUAUCUUGAUAGGAAUAUAUUCGGCAAUGCCCAAAGGAUAUCAGACUGAUUGGUCAGCCAGCUGAAGACACAUUGCUGUUGGCUCAAGUGCAGUGUGAUUAAGCUUGUAGUAGAUGUUGAUGGUCCUUAAGUAUCAAAUUUAACUAUCAAAUAAAUAAAGAAAAGGAUCCAAAUGCAACCGACAUCUAGACUUAGGGUUUUAUCUGACAGAAUUCCACGAGUUUUGGUGUUUGUCUAUUUCUACAGGGGGUUAUCAGGAAUUAUGGAAGAAAGGCCCACACAUCGGGUUUACAUAGAGAUAUUAACAUGCCGCGCAAUUUUCUAUCAUCUAGAAGACUCCAGAAGCCACAGGAAUGAACGGGAAGCCGAGCGGGCUCGGGGGCAGGGCGCCCGCCCAGCUACAGAGUCCAAUUAGGACUCGUUUCGUGGAUUACGCUCCACCGACCUAAAGGAUCAAGAAUAACCGUUCAAUCAAUGUCGGUCUGAUCCGACGGCCCAAAUUCACUUGAGGGGACUAUAUAAGCAGACCCCCUGGCCCCUGGAGGAGGUGCCCCUUGAUCAUUAUUCAUUAUUCCUAGACAGAGCAAAAGCUAGGGUUUGAGAUGAGAGCUCUCCUCUCCUCUAAACUAGAGUAGAUCAUAGUAGCGAGAUGGAGAGUGAGGGUGGAUUGCAGGAGAGCCCGGCCUGUCGGUUCUUCCUCCGGUUGUACUUCGUCAUGAUCAAGCUCUAAUCAAGCUUGCUCAUGGGAUGACUCUGGUAAUCUACUUCUAAUUCAUUAUGCAAUUACUAAUCAUGUAUGUUCUGGUUCACAACUCUUUUGAGUACUUUAAUCUAUAGGACGCUAUAGGUGAGAGUUGUAGUAUAGGUGUAAGCGUGGUGCUCAGACCUAGAUUACUUAUGGAUAUCCCCUGUCUAGCUGGAUCGUGUGGUAGGCCGCGUAGGUGAUAGUUAUGUUGGUCCCCUGUAGUCCACCUCUUGUUAACAGGACGGGUAGGGUUUAUUGGCCUACGGAUAAGCAUCCUUUGUGGUGUAUUCUUAUCACGUGGUUCGUCCCAGACAUAGACAUACCCCUUUGAAGUAGAGAAAUCAUAGUUAUCCUCUCUAUUCUCCUACCAUCGCCCAUAUAUUAGAUUGCUCUACUCUCUAUUCCCAUAUUAUCACCCAUUGUUAUCUUACCUUUAAUAUUGUUAUUAUUUAAUUCUACCAUCUUUCCUAUUUACACCUAUCUAUCUAUCUUGGUUAAGUUAGAGCGUAGUUGGUUCUCCUGUUUCCCUGUGGAUACGAUAAAACCUUUAACUGGGUAAAAGCUACAACGGUAUCUGUGCGCUUGCGGAUUUAUCUGUGUGCGUAUAAAUACCAUAGUACACUCUAGUGCCAUGUUGGGGAUGACAACCUAGUAUUCAAGUGGUGUUAGCAAGUGUGAACAAGCAUUUUUGGCGCCGUUGCCGGGGAGACGGUUGUUGAGUUGACUACGAACUAGCUUAAUCAUUUUCUAAAAAAUAAAAAUAUAUAUAUAUAUUUUUUCCUUUUAUCCUUUGCCUCAUCUCUGCUAUUCUUUCCUCUUAUCUAAUCCUUGAUCUCUGGUCUAUCAUGAAUUCAAACAUGUCUAUCUACGAAUUUCAUAGACCUACUGGCACACAUCUCGAACCACCAAAAUAUUCAAAGCCUAUCAUAGCAUCUAGUUUUGUGAUAGACCCCAAAUACAUAGAAUUUGUUCAAAAACAACCUUUCUCAGGAGAAGGUGAAGAAAACCCAUACACACACCUAAGAGUGUUUUAUCGAGUCUGUGACCUCCUUCGCAUAGAAGGCAUGUCCGAUGAGACCCUUAAAUGGAAGCUCUUUCUGUUCUCUUUAACAGGAAAAGCUAGACAUUGGUAUAAACUCAAAGUAGGGAGUGUUCAUGGAGAUUGGAAGGAGUUACAUAAUAGUUUUCUUUUAAAAUAUUUUCCAAUCUCUAAAGUGGCGGAACUUCGGCGUGAGAUUAUUUCUUUUAGACAACUGGAAGAAGAAUCUCUUGGCAAAUCAUGGGACCACUUUAUUAACCUUAUUCUCACUGGCCCAAAGCUUUCUAUUCCACAAGAAGUUCUUCUAAUUCACUUUUUUGAGGGCCUUAGUAUGGAAAAUAAGCAAACAUUGAAUACAGCCUCCAGAGGAUCUUUCCACCACCUAUCCGCUAGUGAAGCUUGGAAUUUGAUUGACUUAAUGAGCGGAAAGUAUCCUAGCUUUUAUAUCCUUGAGAAAAAGAAAGAACUAGUUCCUAGACAAGAAUAAGAAGUUUCGAUAGCCAGAUCACAACCACUUAAUUCCAAACUUUAGCUAUCGAUCCUAAACCAUCAAUACCCCAAAAUUCUCCAAGGGAGGAAGGAAUUCCAACCUUAAAUCUUUCAGAUACUGAUGGUUUAGACUUCUUGUUCCAUGACAAGCAUAGAUAAUUCAAAUCCUUGCAAUAAUGUUUCUCUUAGAGAAUGUCCUGGUUCCUAUUAUGAAGAAGUCGAGGAUGGCAUGUCAAGUAAUGCCUUAGAAGGAGAGCUAAGCUAUAUGGAAGAUUCUAUCAGCUCCCCUUUCCUGAUCACAAGUUACAAAUGGCUAGAAUGUGUAGAAUGGAUGGAUAAGGAAGAAGCCUUAAUGGAUUCUGAGUUUGGCUCAAUUUCAAAUGGUGAGUUCUUGACUCCCUUCGAAGAUGAGAUUCAUCCAACUACAGAAGAGGACAUAGGAGAAACCAAUCCAGGAGAAAUUCCGAACAUUCAAAUUGGAGACGAAGAUAACAUUAAUGAGCAUGGAAUUUAUUUCAUAGCCACCUCAUUUACUCCAUGCUCAUAUGCAACAUCUUCCCAAUCUAUUGGUCUCCCCAACAUCACCACAUCUGAGAUCUCCAACCCCCUCUUUCUUCCUAUUUAUAAAAACUUUAAAAGGGCAGUUUUCGAUGCAUAUGUCUAUAAUAAAUAUUGCAGAUCUCGUUGAGUUGAUCUUGAUAUACGUCAGUGUUGGAAGGGAAACCACUUCGCCGACAUAAAUUGAUGGUUUCCCAAGGACAAACUUAGUGUCUUAAAAUAAGCACUGAUCAGAUCAUAACAUGAGCUUUUAAUUAUUUACAACAUUACCUUGUGUAUUGAGCAUAUAAGGAUAAUUGUAAAAAUAUUCCUUCGGGUACUCUUGUCACUAACCUUUCCAGGAUUUGAGCAAGAAGAUUGGAUGAAUGACAAGUACAAGGUAUGUCCAACCAAUCAUCAUACAACAUUGAAUUACAUCCAAACUUGGAUUUUGCAAAAUUCAAGCUUGGGGGAGUAAUUUACAUCCUUUGCCAUGUUGCUAUGUUGGUUGUCCCUACCUUUGAGACAUGCUCAAUUUGUUAAAUACUAAUCACACUACUUCAUCUCCACUUGAGUAGAUCUCUAUAAAUGCUCCCAUGCUACCUUUAUGUGCUUUAGUAUAUGUCUAGGUUUGGAGUAGUUCAUUUAUCUCUUAAAUAAGCAUUUUGCUUAGUUUAGGAAUGAUGAUCUUACUUCCAAGGGAUUUUAAAUUAAGCAUGGUGCUUAGGUUAAAAUGCCCUAGGUUGAUUUUUGAUCCGAUAGUAUGCUAUAGUAGAUAUUGGAUAUUUUGUUGGACUAACCCCUGCAGGAAAACUUUCAAUAUCAAACUUGGAAGUCCUGAGAUAAACUCAAAUUGGAGACAAAGAGAGAGACACAUCAAGUUUAACAAUUUACACAAGGAAGACGUAGCUCAUAAGAGAUGAUACAUGGAGGAUGCCACAAACACGAUGCACAACCGCUAUGAAAGGAAAGCUUCCACAAGGUGAUACUGUACCAUCACUCUUCAAGUAAGGUAACAUCUUAAUAUACUUGAUUAUCACUUUUAUAAGCUUCUCCUUGGUUCUAGUGUUCACAUGAAUAAAAGAGACAAACAUGUAUGAUUUAUAACUCCAAAUUAACCAACCCAACUGAUUCAACAUGUUUAGUCCUUUAAUCUUUGCUCCUAGUACUCCCUCCAUGAUCCCACACUCCUAAUCAUAUGAGCUAAAAUGUUACACAUUCAAUCUUUGAGAGAUAUAAAGAAAAAGACAUAUACAUAGAUAGAUUAUCUUUCCACAAGGUUGAGCGAUCUGAUCUGACAAAUGUUAUAAGUACUACACUCAUGAACUUAUCAUCCAUCAACUUUGUCUUGCUCACUAUGCUUAAGGUUAGAGAAGAACAAAUACACUUUUGGUUCUGUUGGUGUUUUCCACCAACAGGACCCAUGCACUUGAUCUCUGCCUUGUCUCUAUGAGCAGGUACACUUCGAGCAAAAUAUGGAGGAGUUUUACAACUCCCAGACUCCACCAAGUGAACAACCUGGAUCUAUGAGCACAAACACACUGAACAAGAUACUACCAACACCGCACUUUGAACUGCUAGGCAAAUGAAGAACAUGGGUGACACCGUAUCAAGAGGUGCAGACGUCAAGGUCCACACCUGAAUCAAAUGACGCACCUAAAGAAUGAACACAGUGAGAAGUCUUGUUCAGAAGACUUAAAACAUUGAACCCUCGCCGAAAGGUAAAAUCGGUAAUUAUCCAUAUUUAUCCUUUCUACAUUCCCUUUUCCCUUUUAUUAUUUACUUUCCUUAAAUAGCUUGUUAAUUAAUCAUGCUAUCUUGAAAAGAAAUUAAAAAUGUUAAAAACAGUAAGCCCCAUGUGAGUAUGCUCGUGGCAUAAAACCCAUAAGUACGUUCACUGUGGUGGCGUAAAAAUAAAAUAAAUAUAUUCCUAUCAUAUAAAAAUGAAAAUAUAAAAAUAAAUUUAUGAUCCUACCAAAGAGAGUAAUAUUUAUUGGAGGAGGCUCAACAUGAUAAAGGCUAGAUAUUUAUGCUAACACUUAACUAGUUCCACAAAGCUUUAUUGUCUAUUUGAGCUCCACAGAAUUCAAGGAUCAAAGAAGACUAGCAGACGGAGGACGUCCUAAUCGCUGUGAGGGUACUGCCGACAUUCAAAUACACCUCCACCACCUGCUAGCUACAUCAGAAGAAAUUACGUCAAAAUCCAGCUUGGGGGAGAGCACCCCCAUUUAUCCAGCUAAGUGUUUCUACUCGCGUUUAUACUUUAGUCAAAUAAUAAAAAGAUGCAUAAUCAGAAAAACUCAAAUAAAGAUUUUUGUGCUUAUAUAUAUCUUUGCUUAGUUUGCUAAAUAAAUAAAUAAAUGAAGUUUGCUAUGAACUCUCAUGAUAAGCUCUCACAUAAAAUGGUCGUUACGCUCCNNNNNNNNNNNNNNNNNNNNNNNNNNNNNNNNNNNNNNNNNNNNNNNNNNNNNNNNNNNNNNNNNNNNNNNNNNNNNNNNNNNNNNNNNNNNNNNNNNNNNNNNNNNNNNNNNNNNNNNNNNNNNNNNNNNNNNNNNNNNNNNNNNNNNNNNNNNNNNNNNNNNNNNNNNNNNNNNNNNNNNNNNNNNNNNNNNNNNNAAAAAUUCACUUGCACGUUCACUAAUACAUGCUGCUUCUACUCCGGAAGUACGCAUCCACAUACAUCCACUCAUUUCCAUCUCCAGAUUCACCCAAAAUUAUUCUACUCCUAUCCAAGAGAGAAUAGCCAAAAACAUUAUCCUAUCCCUGUUAUUCCCCGUGAAAUAAAUGCUCGAGGUAUUUUGGUUACUACCACUUGCUACAUUAUUCUAGGAGGGUGAGUGCUCUGAAAAAAAGAAGAAAGAUACGAGGAAAUAAAAAGGGUCAAGUGCCCGAAACCUCGAAGAAAAGAAAAAGUGAGACGAGAGGUAAAAAUGUACAAGUGUCCGACAGUAGAAUUAGGGGUACAACAUACCCACCUGAGAUGAAAGAAAAAAAAUAAAUAAUAUAGAGCAUCUCAUUCUUCUCAAAAAUCUUCAAAAGAGCAAGAACGGUAUGUAUCCCCUCAAAAGAGCAAAAAGUAGAAUUAGACUUUCACCAUUGUUAUCACCAUACACCAUUCAUUCGCCACACAUACACAUCUUGAUUUGACUUAUUGACUUGUUUCUCUGUAUCCAUGGUUUGACUAUGCAAUAAAUGUCUUAUAAGUAUGUAUUAGCUUUCUCCCACCUAUGAGCUUCAGAUAUCAAAACCGUAUUAGAGUAGGGUGAGAGAGAAGGCAAUGUCACUAUGCCUCAUACUACAUAUACCAUAUGCUUUGAGAGAAGGCAUAUACCAUCACUGCCUUGGUAAGGAUCCAGAAAUACCACAAAAGAGAGAAUUGAGAGAGUCAUACAAGGAAUCUCUGAGUUUUAUUUGAAAACUUGCAAAAACUCCAGAGCUAUAGUUGAUCAAAGAACAAGAGACAUGGUGCUUGACUUGACCGUUCUAUCUAUUAACUGCUCGAGACACAAGUGACGGUUGCAAGCCCCAUGGUGAAACGUAAAAUGAGUAAGUUUUAAGUCUUAACAGUUUACUUUAACUCAGAGAUGAGAUCUUGUUUGAACGCAUGUGUACCUUUAAGGCAUAAAACCACUGUAGAAACUCUUGAGUCCAUCCUUGCUUAGGGACGAGCAAGAGGUAAGCUUGAGGGAGUUGUUGACGGUCCUUAAGUAUCAAAUUUAACUAUAAAAAAAUAAAGAAAAGGAUCCAAAUGCAACCGACAUCCAGACUUAGGGUUUUAUCUGAUAGAAUUCCAUGAGUUUUGGUGUUUGUCUAUUUCUACAGGGGGUUAUCAGGAAUUAUGGAAGAAAGGCCCAGACGUCGGGUUUACAUAGAGAUAUUAACGUGUUGCGCAAUUUUCUAUCAUCUAGAAGACUCCAGAAGCCACAGGAACGAACGGGAAGCCGAGCAGGCUCGGGGGCCGGGCGCCCACCCUCCCCCCUUGGGCGCCCGCCCAGCUACAGAAUCCAAUCAGGACUCGUUUCGUAGAUUAUGCUCCACUGAACUAAUGGAUCAAGAAUAACCGUUCAAUCAAUGUCGGUUUGAUCCGACGGCCCAGAUUCACUUGAGGGGACUAUAUAAGCAGACCCCCUGGCCCCUGGAGGAGGCACCCCUUGAUCAUUAUUCAUUAUUCAUAGACAGAGCAAAAGCUAGGGUUUGGAGAUGAGAGCUCUCCUCUCUUCUCCAAACUAGAGUAGAUCUAGAUAGUAGCGAGAUGGAGAGCGAGGGUGGAUUGGAGGAGAGGCCGGCCUUUCGGUUCUUACUCCGGUUGUACUUCGUCAUGAUCAAGCUCUAAUCGAGCUUGCUCAUGGGAUGACUCUAGUAAUCUACUUCUAAUUCAUUAUGCAAUUACUAAUCAUGUAUGUUCUGGUUCACAACUCUUUAUUGAGUACUUUAAUCUAUAGGACGCUAUAGGUGAGAGUUGUAAUAUAGGUGUAAGCGUGGUGCUUAGACCUAGAUUACUUGUGGAUAUCCCCUGUCUAGCUGGAUCGUGUGGUAGGCCGCGUAGGUGACAGUUACAUUGGUCCCCUGUAGUCCACCUCUUAUUAGCAGGACGGGUAGGGUUUAUCGGCCUAUGGAUAAACAUCCUUUGUGGUGUAUUCUUAUCACGUGGUUCAUCCCACACAUAGACAUGAACCUUUGAAGUAGAGAAAUCAUAGUUAUCCUCUCUAUUCUCCUACCAUCGCCCAUAUAUUAGAUUGCUCUACUCUCUAUUCCCAUAUUAUCACCAAUUGUUAUCUUACCUUUAAUAUUGUUAUUAUUUAAUUCUACCAUCUUUCCUAUUUACACCUAUCUAUCUAUCUUGGUUAAGUUAGAGCGUAGUUGGUUCUCCUGUUUCCCUGUGGAUACGAUAAAACCUUUAACCGGGUAAAAGCUACAAUGGUAUUCGUGCGCUUGCGGAUUUAUCUGUGUGCGUAUAAAUACCAUAGUACACUCUAGUGCCAUGCUGGGGAUGACAACCUAGUAUUCAAGUGGUGUUAGCAAGUGUCAACAGUAGACAGAAGCGGGCAUCACACUGACACUUGCUCCAAGGUCACAGAGUGCAUUGUUGAAAUGUUGAUCUCCAAUUGUGCAUUCGAUAGUCGGACAUCCUGGAUCCAUUUUCUUUUCUGGUAACUUGUUGAGGAUGGCCGCACUAUAUUCUUCUAUGAGCUUGAUUACUUUAGUGGAUUGUAGAGGUCUCUUCUUGUUGAGAAUGUCUCUAAUGUACUUGGCAUAUGUAGGGACCUCUAUGGCAUUUAACAGAGGUAUGUUGAUCUAUAAUUUUUGAAGUACCUCCAUGAACUUACUAAACUGCUCAUCUACUUGUUGUGGUCUUCUAUUCUGACGACGAAAUGGUAGGUAAUUGGUGUCUUGAAAAUCUUGUCUCAUCUCGUGGUCUUGGACCGGUUGUGGUAGUGUGUCUUUAAGAAUGUUGUUCUCAUUGUGCACCAUUGUUCGUAAUGUUGAUGGCAUUGGCAAUGGUCUUUUGGUACCUUUUGGGUAGGGAGGAUCUUUGGUAGAACUUCCUCUUCUUGUAGUGAUAUUCUUUACCUACUCAGGGUUAUUGGCAACAAGCAACGCAGCAGCCAACUGUGCUAUUUUUGCUUCUAUCUUUUUAUUAUACUCAAGUUGGGCAUUAAUGGCAAAUGAGAAACUAUCCAUUUUCAUCAUUAUUAGCAAGCCUAGCUAUAAUGUCUAGGUUGAUUUUAGAUUGCUACAUAAUUAUCUCUCUUAAAGAAGUUGCUUUGUAAAAUUACCUAAAUUCAUACCUUGGCUAUUUUGAUGUUAUCUCCAAGUUGGUUGAUGUGGAAUUUUCCUGAUGGUAGGACUUGUAACAGAACCGCCCAAUUCACAAGAGAUCAACUAUGAAAAACUCCCGCCAAAGCAGUCGCUUUAACAUAAUCGAAUUCUCAUAAACCCGGUAGUCCGUGAAAUCAUGAGGGAUUUCAAUCCAACCAUCUUACAAGCCAUGAUCUUACUCCUCUAAUAUGGUACGAGUCAUCCAACUCUUGCAGUGGCCAUGAUACAUCACAACCUGCAACAAGUGGGAAUAAACCCUGAGUACGAGAAGGUACUAAGCUAGACUUACCCGUCAUAAACUAGAAAUAAUAUGACACCAAGGAGUAUGCAAGGCUUUAUUGGUGGAGCUAGCUUGACAACACUUUUUCCAUAAAAAGCUUAAGUUGUAACUAAGUAACCUUUCAGGUAUUUAGCUCAAGUUAAUAAUCAUUAACCUAUCAUCUAGAUUAGCACCUGUACUAAAGCAAUCACUUGAUUAAGAUACAACCAUAGUACCCAUAUUUGAUGUGGCAUUACCAACAUCAUCAUACCAUAACCAUCCAAGUGUUCCAUAAACAUUACUACGAUGACGAAGCUCAAGUCAAGUGCUCACUGUCCAGGAGCGAUGGCGAUUCGAAUCGAUUUCUAACCAGCUGGCGAGUUUAUUCCCCACACAAACCACACUCACUGAUCAAGUGAGCUAUAGAUCACCGUAUUGCACUAUCCAGGACCAAUUUGCGGGUUCGACAGGCACCGCCCGUACCCGAGGACCGUUCCGACGACCGAGGUAUCCAAGGUAUACCAAGGUUGAGCGCCGCGCCCUCGUCGUUCUCCUCAACCAUCACCAAUGCAGCGCGUACAUCGGGCCGAUUCCCGGCCCGGAUAGUGCUCAGGCUUCACGGUCGGAAUGACUUAUCCUUCCAGCUAAGUGUGGGGCAUGCGUUCAACAUGACAAGAGGGCCGUCAACGAUCGGUCCUUAAUCGACACAGGCGGGGAUAGAUAGGCACCCAAGACCUCCAUGUCUUGUUCCUUCUCUAUCAUCGUCCCGCCCGAUCUGCAAUUACUCAUCCUUUUCAGGUAUCCACCUAUCUCGCUCAGGUGACAGGACAUCACCUGGCUUCUACCGGUCUAAGCAUGACUAAGCAUUUAGAUUCGAUCCCGAAUCUACAUAGGGUUAUAGGUAUAUUUGCUGGACAAGGAGUGAUAUAUGCAGCAAGGGUUUCACCGAACUCCUAUACUUAAUGCAACAAUACAUAUAUAACAUAUAUUCUCAAUUGCAUUCAAAAGUAGUGGGAGACUUAUAAUGCUCGGGGGCUUGCCUGGAAUCAUCACUGAGUUAGUUCAGUUAGUUGCUCCGUCUUGGUGACAUCUAAGGUCACAACACUUGCUUAGUCCUUCCACCUUUAGGGUGGGUCCACCCAACACCGUCUUCGGGUUUGUUCCCACACCAAGACCUUCACGUGAUUCAUCUAGCGCACCUAGAUGAGAUGCAAGUGCGUGAAUAUAAAGAAUAAUAACACAACAUGCAUCACAUAAAAGUAUGCAAGACAUAGGUAUCUAAAGUUAUUUAGCUAACAUCACACAACCAGUUAUAUAGAGCAAACAUAUCAAUCAUGACACAAGUUUAACAAGUUUACAAGUGUAUUACUUAGUCACCAUUAUAGACAUGAAUCAUACUUAGAUCACACAAAGUAUUCAUGUAUUUCAGCAAUUCUGGACAUACAUGCAACAACUCAGUAAAUAAAUCAUAACUGGAGUUACACAACUCCAAAAACUAUGCAAUAGGAUAUUCUGGAAAGAUUAUCAAAUUAUCUACAAUUCAUCUUUAAUCAUAUUAGCAUGAUUAACAAGUUAACCAAGUCAAACAUGCAUGACCAUAUAAUCUGGUCCAGGAACUUCCAGAGAACAGGCAUUUCAAAGGAUGAACUUCAUACUACUGUAACUCAUAAACCACUUAUCUGAAUGAGAUGAAACUUUACCACAAUAUAAAUUAGUGAAUUAUCUACAUCUUUUCUAUAUACAAGUUUCACAGCAAACAUCAUUUAUAUCAUGGAAUUAAUCGCAUAAAUAAAACUGCUCAUGCUGCCAAACAGUAGAGGUACAAUUACACAUAGAAAACUGAUUGGCACUUCAAAGCAGCAUAACUGGAGUUGUAGACCUCCAGAAAACAUUAUUCUUAUAUCUUUGGAAAGCUUAUAACGUUACCUACAACUUUCUUAUUAUCAUCUAAAUAUGAAUCUACAGUUAACAAGGUCAAUUAAUCCCAUGAAGAUAUCUCUGUCCAAAACAUAGACAGAAUCUGUCAUGCUAUAUUAAACACCCAUAACUUGAGUUUCACGUGUCCAUAAAUUAUGGUUAUAUACUUUCUAGAAACCUUAAUUAAUGGUGAACAACUUUGUUAUAAACAUGUAUAGCUAAAUCUACAACUAAAAAGGUCUUACUUUACAAACAAUGCAACCUGUCUGGGUUUAGACAGAAACUGGAACAAUAAUUUAAACCACUAUAACUAAACAUGUGCUUAACCAAAAAUUGUGCUAUAUACCUUUCUGGAAAGCUUAUGAAAAGUACUAUAACUUAUAUAUUUUCAUUAAGGCAUGAUUCACAACUUAACUGAGCCAAACAAUACAAACAUGCAGACCUAUUCAGAAUAGGAGCAAAGCAACAAAGGGCAUUUGUUAUUUUUAGAACUCUUAAUCUAUCAAUCCUAAAAUCAUGAAAAGUUUACCAGACAUCAAUCAUCAUAUUAAAAGCAUGUCACAAUAUUUUCACAUUUAUUUGGGCAAUAACACAGCAGUUAUGAAAAAGACAAUUAUAACAAGCAAUUAAAACCUAACUGCUUAAAUCUAUUUUUGCGACUAAAACUUCAAACAAAACCAUGACAUAUUAUAGAUCUAAUGCAUAGAGAAUUUUAUAAGGAUUCCAAAAAGUCCACAUUUGCUAUUUUACAAAUUUUCUAUGAAUUACUAUGCAUUUCCAAAGUUCAUACAAGAAAUCUGCAAAAAAACAAAAGAUAAAGGAAAACGACUUUGCAUCGGGAACCCUAAACUUUCUCCGAAUCAACCCGCCGUCCAGAGCAGAGUCUUGGCUUCGCAUCUGGAACCCUGAGGUUUACCCUAUUUCCACCCGAGGUCCUCUGUCUUCUUCCUGUGAGCGACUGGAUGAACAGGUUACGAACCGUAACAGCAUCCGCAUUGGCCAUGGCCGAGCACGGCAGGGAAGGGCACCACGGCGGCGCAGCGAUGACCAGCGAGGCAAAGGCAACCUCAAUGUCGCGCGCGGCAACUCUGGCCUGCCCAGCAGUGCUCGGUGGCGGCAGUAGGCGAAGCCAUGGCGGCGGUGGCGUGGUUCUUGGCCAGGGAGCGAGCGAAGGAGAUGGGGAUGACGCUGAGGGAGUAGAGGAAACCGGGGAUGGCGCUCUGGUGCUCGUCCGGUCAUCCCCAUCCACACAGAUAGAGGCAAGGGCGAGGUGGAGGUGGCAGCCAUGGUGGGACAAGUUCUGCUGCAUGGUGACCACGUCGUCAUUUCGUCGAACGCGUGGCGGACAGCAAGGUAGAGAAGGUGGGACGCCGGUUUGAGCCACUUCUGGGCCGAAUUGGACCUUGGGCCAAAUUGGAGGUUUGUUCAUCUCGCCGUGCUCUAUAACUUUGAUUAAGAGACCAAGGUCAUGAGACCAAUAGAUUAGGAGAUAACUUGAUGUCAAGUCACGAGUGUCAACGUAUUGACGGUGAUUAGCAAAACCAAGAAUUGAUGGUCCAAACCAUGUCAAACAUGAUGCAACUUUUCACAUUACCUUCUCCAAGUAAUUGUCCACCACUUUUAUUCUUGGACUAACUUGAGUUGCUUAACAAAAACACGAGAACGCGGCAUGCCAACGGGUCAAUGUCCGUUUAGCAAUAAAAUAACUUUUUGCUGUUUUGGGAGCUACUUUUAGAUAUCCAAAUGAACUCCAAAUUUGAUGAUAGUUGAUCCAUUGGUUUCAUGAAGAAGAGUACUCCAACUCAUAUUAAGGAAUCUAAUUGAGUUACCAUAUGAAUUUGGAUAAUAAAAUGUCACAAAAAAGCUAACUUGCUGCUGUACUUCCAAGGACUUAGAAUUAUUUCUCAGGGCUAAAAAGCAGCAACUGAUUCGAACUUUGAGCCUCUGUUUGAGCUAUUUUAAAACUGAUUUGGUUCUUGACUCUUGAAUGAAGUUUCUUCUACAGAAGCAAAACUACAACUUUUAUUUAGGGUCAAACCUCAUAACUGCAACAGAAGUCAAUCUUUCACUUUGGUCAAUGCAGUAACCCGAUAAAGCUCCAAAUAGGAUUUUAGGCCAAUUGAAGCAUUUUCUUAACAUAAGCUCAACAUGAAUCCUUCAUGACUUUUGUUGUAUAAUUCAUCUAGAGUCAUAUGAGCAAGUUUGGAAGGUUUGGUUCAUGACCCAUGAUUCUAUUUCCUUAAUAGAGUCAUUCCAACAAGGAUAUAACUCAUCAUUUCAUGUGACUUCUUGAUUCCAAACUUCACCAAACUUUUCUAGAGACCAAUAUAGAUUGGGAUGGAUAUGAGACACAUGAAAAAUGUUCCACUAACACCAUCCAAGUAUACCUUUCAAAAAGGGCAUAUAUGUAAGUAAAGGUGCAUCAUCCAUGUCCAAGUUAGGGCUUACUUUCAUAGAUUGACUUUGACCUUUUUAUUGCCAUUGAACUUGUCAUGUUUGAGCUCAAACCUAGUACUUAGCAAGUGACAAACACCUGGGGUGUUACAGCCUUCCCCCCUUAAAAGAAUCUCGUCCCGAGAUUCGGUGCAAAACACUUGCAAGGGAAGAAAACAAUGUCACACAUUUUCCAACAUUAACGAUAGAAGUGGGUGACUUAGCUUAGAGCAUCAGAAAAGCUAACUUGAUCCGAACAUUUUCUGAUACUUGUCCAUCAUAGUAAACCUUUAUCUGGAGAAUCUCCUCUUUUGUUUGACUUCAGUGAAGUAUUGUUACAUUGGGAGGAAUCCAAGACAACACUGUUCCAUGUACUUUGUUCCUAGUUGUUUAUAGCAUAAGGGGCUACUUGUACCAUUAGCUUCUUUAGUCAAACUAAUGCAAGCCAUAUGAACUUCACACCAGGUCACAAGCCUCUAAGGGUUGCUCAUUAUAGAGGUUCCAGGCUCAUUCACAAGAUUUGAAAAGCAGCCCUCUACCAACAUGGUUGGAUUACAACUUUCCACGCAUGCAGUUCUCUUUCUCUGAUGACAACAUUGUACUUACCACCUGGUUAAGAGAACGGUGAAUGUGAUAGCUGACUCUGUUGGUUUCACGCCUUCCAUGAUCAUUUACUUUAAUGGGAUUCUUGUAUCCAAACAACAACAGUUAUCUAGGUCGGAUCAGAUGUAACUUCUUGGGCAAUACAUAGAGGGUAACAAAGGCAUGUAAGAAUUAGAUAACCACUACUGACAAAGGAUGAUUGUGGGGCCUAUAGGUCUUCAACUACUGCAAGUGUUCAACCAACUAAAGAAAUAAUUUACCACCAAGUAGGUUAAGCAUUACCUUUCUUCAUGAUGCAGUUGCAUAAUAGUUAGGUUGACUUGUUCCAUAGCAAAACCAAUCCAUUGGAACUACUUUUCCCUUUAUGGCUUCCUUUUUAGGAUCAGUCAGUAGCUCAAUUAGUGCGUGGGAAAGAACCAAGUAUUUCCAUUGGAACCAAUCCAUUGGAACUACUGAUCCAUUGGAACCAAUCCAUUGGAACUACUGAUCCAUUGGAACCAAUCCAUUGGAACUACUGAUCCAACUCAGGCCAACUGCAUACCAAGAUACAUCCCCCUUGCAGUUAGUGCGUGGGAAAGAACCAAGUAUUUCCCAUCUGCGAAUAUUUGGCUACGUAGUGUACGUGCCAAUACCACCACCCCAGCGUACUGCAAUGGGACCCCACCGGAAGUUGGGGAUAUAUGUUGGGUUAUGUGACUCCGUCCAUAAUCAAAUAUUUAGAACCUAUGACUGGGGAUCUUCAUACGGCUCGGUACACGGAUCGUGUCUUUGAUGAAGACAAUUUCCUAGCAUUACGGGGAGAUAGGCAUCCAGAAGAAUGCCGGGAAAUUGAAUGGAAUGCAUCAGGGAUGCAAUCCUUAGAACCACGCACUAGCGAAUCUGAACUGGAAGUUCAGAGAAUUAUUCUUUGCAAGGUCUUGCAAAUGAGCUGCCAGAUGCCUUCACUGAUCACAAAAGGGUGAGAAGGUCGCAUAUACUUGCAGUAAAUGCGCAGGAGAGAGUUCAGGUACCCUAGAUGGCUACCAACUCUAUAGUCUCCCCUAAUCCUAGGAUGAGGGGGAGACCUCUAGGUGCUCAGGACAAGGUCCUGCGGAGACGUCCGCAGAGGCGACGGUCUAAGACACUUGCACCACUCGAAGAAUCAGUUGAAAAGGCUCGACCCGAAGUCGAGAAUGCCCUAGAAGUGGCAACUCAACCUAAAGUUGAGGAAGCCCUUGAAGGACACCAUCCUGAAGAUGGAAAUCCCAAUGCGUCGCGUGCACAUCAUCGUAUUGGAAGAUCGAAACGCCCCAACUCAAUCGUUACGGGAAAUCACGAUGGGUGGGAGGACGAUCAUGAGGAGAUCGCCACUAAUUAUGUGGAAUCAGGAGAGUCAUAUCAUAGAAAGACCACUAUUGUCGACAUAUAUUGUGCCUCAAAAAUUGCUGACUCAAUGGAUCUGGAUCCAGAACCAAAGUCCAUGAUAGAGUGCCGGAAGCGCUCGGACUGGGAUAUAUGGAAAGCAGCAAUUGAGGCUGAGUUGCGCUCGCUUUGCCAAAGAGAGGUUCUUGGGCCUGCAGUCCCAACACCUCCAAAGGUCAUCCCUGUAGGAUGCAAAUGGGUUUUCAUCCGGAAGAGGAAUGAACAUGGUGAGGUGGUAAGAUACAAAGCGAGGCUAGUGGCACAAGGGUUCACGUAGAGACCCGGCAUCGAUUAUGAUGAGACUUACUCUCCUGUUAUGAGUGGCAUAACGUUCUGAUAUCUUAUAUCUAUGGCAGCUAACUUGAAUUUGAAAAUGCAGUUGAUGGAUGUUGUGACUGCAUACUUGUAUGGGUCACUUGAUUCGGAAAUAUACAUGAGAGUCCCUGAAGGACUCAAGAUCCCUGGACCGAAUCAAAACCGCAACAUGUUCAGCGUCCGCUGUUGACACUUGCUAACACCACUUUGAAUACUAGGUUGUCAUCCCUAGCAUGGCACUAGAGUGUACUAUGGUAUUUAUACGCACACAGAUAAUCCGCAAGCGCACGGAUACCGUUGAAGCUUUUACCCGGUUAAAGGUUUUAUCGUAUCCACAGGGAAACGAGAGAAGUGAUCUACGCUCUAACUUAACCAAGAUAAGUAAAUAGGAAAGAUGGUAGAAUCGAAUAAGAACAAUAUUAAAGGUAAGAUAACAGUGAGGGAUAAUAUGGGAAUAGAGAGUAUAGCAAUUCUAGUAUAUGGGCGAUGGUAGCAGAUUAGAGAGGAUAACUAUGGUUUCUCUACUUCAAAGGGGUAUGUCUAUGUCUGGGACGAACCACGUGAUAAGAAUACACCACAAAGGAUGCUUAUCCAUAGGCUGAUAAACCCUACCUGUCCUGCUAACGAGAGGUGGACUACAGAGGACCAACGUAACUGUCACCUACGCGGCCUACCUCACGAUCCAGCUAGACAGGGGAUAUCCACAAGUAAUCUAGGUCUAAGCACCACGCUUACACCAAUACUACAACUCUAACCUAUAGGGUCCUAUAGAUUAGAAGUACUCAAAAGAGUUGUGAACCAGAACAUACAUGAUUAGUAAUUGCAUAAUGAAUUAGAAGUAGAUUACCAUGGUCAUCCCCUGAGCAAGCUUGAUUAGAGCUUGAUCAUGAUGAAGUACAACCGGAGAAAGAACCGACAGGCCGGCCUCUCCUCUAAUCCUCCUUCGCUCUCCAUCUCGCUACUAUCUAGAUCUACUCUAGUUUAGAGAAGAGAGGAGAGCUCUCAUGUCCAAACCCUAGCUUUUGCUCUUUUUAUGAAUAAUGAAUAAUGAUCAAGGGGUGUGCCUCCUCCAGGGGCCAGGGGGUCUGGUUAUAUAGUCCCCUCAAGUGAACCUGGGCCGUUGGAUGAAACCGACAUUGAUUGAACGGUUAUUCUUGAUCCUUUAGGUCGGUGGAGCAUAAUCCAUGAGAUUGAGCGUGAUUGGCCACUGUAGCAGGGCGGGCGCCUAAGGGGGGUGGGCGGGCGCCCUGCCCCCGAGCCCGCUCGGCCUCCCGUUCGUUCUCGUGGCUUCUGGAGUCUUCUAGAUGGUAGAAAAUUGCGCGGCACGUUAAUAUCUCUAUGUAAACCCGAUGUGUGGGCCUUUCCUCCGUAUUUCCUGAUAACCCCCUACAGAAAUAGACAAACACCAAAACUUGUGGAAUUCUGUCAGAUAAAACCCUAAGUCUGGGUGUUGGUUGCAUUUGGAUCCUUUUCUUUAUUUAUUUGAUGAUUAUAUUUGGUACUUAAGGACCGUCAACAACUCCCCCAAGCUUACCUCUUGCUCGUCCCUAAGCAAGGAUGGACUCAAGAGUUUCUGCAGUGGUUUUAUGCCUUAAAGGUACACAUGCGUUUAAACAAGAUAUUAUCUCUAGGUUAGGGUAAACUGUUAAGAUUUAAACUUACUCAUAUUACCUUCCACCAUGGGGCUUGCAACUGUCAGUUGUGUCUUGAGCAGUUAAAAGAUAGAACGGUCAAGUCAAGCGCCAUGUUUCUUAUUCUUGAUCAGCUAUAGCUCUGGAGUUUUUGUAGAUUUUCAAAUAAAACUCAGAGAUUCCUUGUAUGACACUCUCUACUCUCUCUUUUGUGGUAUUUCUGGAUCCUUACCAAGGCAGUGAUGAUAUACACCUUUCCUCAAAGUAUGUAGUAUUUGUGGUAUGAGGCAUAGUGAUAUUGCCUUCUCUCUCACCCUACUCUAAUAAGGUUUGAUAUCUGGAGCUCAUAGGUGGGAGACAGCUGAUACAUACUUACAAGACAUUUAUUGCAUAGUCAAACCAUGGAUCCAGAGAAACAAGUCAAUAAGUCAAAUCAAGAUGUGCAUGUGUGGCGAAUGAUUGGUGUAUGGUGAUAACUGUGAAAAUAAUGGUGAAAGUCUAAUUCUACUUUUGCUCUUUUGAGGGGAUACAUACCUUUCUUGUACUUUGAAGCUUUUUGAGGGGAAUGAGAUGCUCUAUAUUUUAUUUUUCUUUUCUCUCAGGUGGGUAUCUUGUACCCCUAAUUCUACUAUCGUACACUUGUCCAUUUUUACCUCUCGUCUCACUUUCUCUUUUCUUCGAGGUUUCGGCCACUUGCCCCUUUUUAUUUCCUCGUAUUAUUAUUUUUUUUUUCAGAGCACUCACCCUGCUAGAAUAAUGUAGCAAGUGGUAGUAACCAAAAUAUCAAGAGCAUUUAUUUCACGGGGAAAGGUAAAAUCGGUAAUUAUCCAUAUUUAUCCUUUCUACAUUCCCUUUUCCCUUUUAUUAUUUACUUUCCUUAAAUAGCUUGUUAAUUAAUCAUGCUAUCUUGAAAAGAAAUUAAAAAUGUUAAAAACAGUAAGCCCCAUGUGAGUAUGCUCGUGGCAUAAAACCCAUAAGUACGUUCACUGUGGUGGCGUAAAAAUAAAAUAAAUAUAUUCCUAUCAUAUAAAAAUGAAAAUAUAAAAAUAAAUUUAUGAUCCUACCAAAGAGAGUAAUAUUUAUUGGAGGAGGCUCAACAUGAUAAAGGCUAGAUAUUUAUGCUAACACUUAACUAGUUCCACAAAGCUUUAUUGUCUAUUUGAGCUCCACAGAAUUCAAGGAUCAAAGAAGACUAGCAGACGGAGGACGUCCUAAUCGCUGUGAGGGUACUGCCGACAUUCAAAUACACCUCCACCACCUGCUAGCUACAUCAGAAGAAAUUACGUCAAAAUCCAGCUUGGGGGAGAGCACCCCCAUUUAUCCAGCUAAGUGUUUCUACUCGCAUUUAUACUUUAGUCAAAUAAUAAAAAGAUGCAUAAUCAGAAAAACCCAAAUAAAGAUUUUUGUGCUUAUAUAUAUCUUUGCUUAGUUUGCUAAAUAAAUAAAUAAAUGAAGUUUGCUAUGAACCCUCAUGAUAAGCUCUCACAUAGAAAUGAUGAAUAGUUGCUCUGCCAUGACUAGUUCUCAAAAUUGAAAUCUCUCUCAAGUUUAGUAUCUAAAGUCUAAGUCGUUGACGGAUAUGAUAUGGGAAGGUUGAGCUGCUAUUUAUCUAUUCCUAGAGAUGCUAGAAUUUUGGAGAAUUUUAUCUUUGAAAAUCUUUAAAAUGUUGCAUGAUGAGUUCUUGUAUGAUGAGAGUUUAAAAUCCUACCACAGCCACAUAUACAUGCUUAUUAGACUAUGAACCAUACAUUUACUUUUUACUAAUUAUGAGCAUUGAGUGUGGUCAAGCUGUGUAGACCCUUAGGAGCUUGUCAUGCGGUUAAAAUCAAAAUUCACUUGCACGUUCACUAAUACAUGCUGCUUCUACUCCGAAAGUACGCAUCCACAUACAUCCACUCAUUUCCAUCUCCAGAUUCACCCAAAAUUAUUCUACUCCUAUCCAAGAGAGAAUAGCCAAAAACAUUAUCUUAUCCCUGUUAUUCCCCGUGAAAUAAAUGCUCGAGGUAUUUUGGUUACUACCACUUGCUACAUUAUUCUAGGAGGGUGAGUGCUCUGAAAAAAAGAAGAAAGAUACGAGGAAAUAAAAAGGGUCAAGUGCCCGAAACCUCGAAGAAAAGAAAAAGUGAGACGAGAGGUAAAAAUGUACAAGUGUCUGACAGUAGAAUUAGGGGUACAACAUACCCACCUGAGAGGAAAGAAAAAAAAUAAAUAAUAUAGAGCAUCUCAUUCUUCUCAAAAAUCUUCAAAAGAGCAAGAAAGGUAUGUAUCCCCUCAAAAGAGGAAAAAGUAGAAUUAGACUUUCACCAUUGUUAUCACCAUACACCAUUCAUUCGCCACACAUACACAUCUUGAUUUGACUUAUUGACUUGUUUCUCUGUAUCCAUGGUUUGACUAUGCAAUAAAUGUCUUAUAAGUAUGUAUUAGCUUUCUCCCACCUAUGAGCUUCAGAUAUCAAAACCGUAUUAGAGUAGGGUGAGAGAGAAGGCAAUGUCACUAUGCCUCAUACUACAUAUACCAUAGGCUUUGAGAGAAGGCAUAUACCAUCACUGCCUUGGUAAGGAUCCAGAAAUACCACAAAAGAGAGAAUUGAGAGAGUCAUACAAGGAAUCUCUAAGUUUUAUUUGAAAACUUGCAAAAACUCCAGAGCUAUAGUUGAUCAAAGAACAAGAGACAUGGUGCUUGACUUGACCGUUCUAUCUAUUAACUGCUCGAGACACAAGUGACGGUUGCAAGCCCCA